Molecule: long non-coding RNA, 79776 nt
Filed under: Triticum aestivum (bread wheat)
Lineage: Eukaryota; Viridiplantae; Streptophyta; Magnoliopsida; Poales; Poaceae
Description: long non-coding RNA (TAES_LNC020227)
Rfam family: MIR1120/MIR1122 microRNA precursor family (bases 49617-49751)
Source: RNAcentral
UUUUUUUUUACUUUUGUACUGUAUUAAAAAGGCUAAACUUNNNNNNNNNNNNNNNNNNNNNNNNNNNNNNNNNNNNNNNNNNNNNNNNNNNNNNNNNNNNNNNNNNNNNNNNNNNNNNNNNNNNNNNNNNNNNNNNNNNNNNNNNNNNNNNNNNNNNNNNNNNNNNNNNNNNNNNNNNNNNNNNNNNNNNNNNNNNNNNNNNNNNNNNNNNNNNNNNNNNNNNNNNNNNNNNNNNNNNNNNNNNNNNNNNNNNNNNNNNNNNNNNNNNNNNNNNNNNNNNNNNNNNNNNNNNNNNNNNNNNNNNNNNNNNNNNNNNNNNNNNNNNNNNNNNNNNNNNNNNNNNNNNNNNNNNNNNNNNNNNNNNNNNNNNNNNNNNNNNNNNNNNNNNNNNNNNNNNNNNNNNNNNNNNNNNNNNNNNNNNNNNNNNNNNNNNNNNNNNNNNNNNNNNNNNNNNNNNNNNNNNNNNNGUAUAUAUAGAAAAUGUUGACCAUGUAUUAAAACAAAGUUAAUCUUGCUUUUGAAUUUUUUUAAUCAAGCAUUUGGAAAAUGUUAAAUGUGUAUAGAAAAAUGUUGAUCAUGUAUUAAAAAAUAGUUAAUCUUGCUUUGAAUUUUUUAAUAAAGCAUUUAGAAAAUGUCAAAUGUGUAAAGAAAAAUGUUUACCAUGUAUUAAAUAAUAGUUAAUCUUGCUUUUUGAAUUUUUAUAAGCAAGCAUUUGGAAAAUGUUAACUGUGUAUAGAAAAAUGUUGACCAUGUAUUAAAAAAUAUUUAAUCAUGAAUUGGAAAAAAAUUAAUCAAGCAUUUGAAAAAUAUUAAAUGUGUAUAGAAAAAAUGUUGACAUGCAUGAAAGAUAUAUUAAGCAAGCAUUUGAAAUGUUGAAAAUAUGUAUAGUUUUUUUGAACAUGUAUUUAAUAUUUUAAUAUUUUGUUUGAUAAUUUAAUAAAAUAUUUCAAAAAUGGUAAAACAUGUAUAGAAAAGAUCUUGACCAUGUAAUGUAUUGAAAAACAGAGAAAGUAGAAAAAAAGAAGAAAACCGAUGAAACACAAGAAAGAAACAAAAGAAAUAUGAAGAAAGAAAGCACAAAAAAAACCUAUUAGAAACAAGAAAGAAACAAAGAGAGACGAUGAAAAAAAAGACAGAAAUGCAAAAACAGUGAAAGGCACACUCUGUAUAAGAGUGUAUAGCAUGUGCGCUUAUUAUGGUCCAGGUUAGUUAGUUUGCUCUCUUUUUUUGUAAGAAACAACCAAGAGGGCCCGAGUCCACCUUAGUGCGCUAUUCGCUGAUGGCUUUAAUAUUUAUCUUUCAGUUGCAUCGCCAGUUCGCCAGAGCAGGCAGUUAACAAGCGUUCCUUCGGGAGCCUCGCAACGAUCAGUGUCAUUUGACGCGCUCUCAGCUAUUCGCCACGUGUCGCGCUCUGGACACUCUUUUCGGAUUUUAUUUUUUUUAUUUUUUUGCACGCGUUUUCGCCUUUUUAUACGGUUUUUUAUGGGUUUUUUCGAUGUUUUGGUUUUUCCUCGGGCUUCCUUAGCUUUUCAACAAAAAAAGUUUGAAAUUUUUUGGGGCGAAAAAACGCCUUUUCUUUUUUUUCUUUCGAGAGAGUCAUGGUUUUUCUUCCGCGAGAGGCACGGUUGUGCUUUAGUAAGAGUCACGGCCGUGCCUUUUGGAAACGAAAAAAACACGUUUUCUGUUUUUUUUCUUUCACGAGUCACGAUUUUGCUUCCGCGAGAGGCAUGGUUGUGCUUUCGCGAGAGUCAUGGUCGUGCCUCUCGAAAACGAAAAAAACACAUUUUCUGUUUUUUUCCUUCCACGAGAGUUACGGUUUUGCUUCUACGAGAGACACGGUUGUGAUUUCGCGAGAGGAACGGGCGUGCCUCUUUCGAAAAAGAAAAAAAAACUUGUGUUUCCGGUUCGAUUUUUUCGUCCGAUUUUUUUGUGAAAAAAAGUUCGUCAAAACCUAUCAACAUGGGAUCUAAUUUUGAAGAUCUCGACACGACAAAUCCAACGGUGAAAACGGUUCGAGAUUUGGACGCAUGGUUUAAAAGAUAAAACGUUUUGAAUAAACGGAUCUAUGAAAAAAGGGAAAACUCAGAGGUCGCGACAAGUGGCGCGCUGCAUGUGCGCCACUUGUCACGACCAGAAAAGAUGGGAUGUUCUUUGCAAAGAAUAUUCCUUAAUUAGUGAUUUCGCCAGUUCGCCACCUUUUUUCCUCGGAUAUUCUAAAGAAAAAAGAGAAAACUUUUUUUCCUCGGAUUUGAGCUUUUCAAAAAGCAGCAAGUUAGCGUUAGUACUACACACUGUAGGAACCUUUUGUUUCUUUUAGCUUGCGUAGGAAUCUUUGUUGACCUUGGCAGAAAACGACCGGGCAUGGCACAUCCAAUCCUGCUGCUAAACCGUGCACGACUCCGUCAAUCUUUCGUGCACGAAGCAAGCGAUCGAGAUAACACUAGGUGGCGACGUACGUAAUUGCGAUCCCUCCCAGCAGACGGCACCAUCAGGAAUGUAAAGAGACGGCCACAUCAGGCUUUAAUCCUGACGACGAGUCGGCCACUAACCUUGCCUGCAACCCACGGCAUAUUAAGAUCAGGACCCGUAAAAAGUUUGCAAGUGAACGUCUGAUCUGCCCGGCGCGAAUCUCCAAGCAAAACGUGCACGUACGCCCUCGGCUUUGUCCCCCGGAAAACGACCUGUCGAGAGGAGCUCCACGUAGACGUCGCCGUCGCCUCCUUUGGGACAUCGCCGUCGCCGUCAGACCCUUCUCCUAGCUGCCGCUGCGUCACAGCUUGGAGCCUUGGACGCGGACGAAACCGUCGCCCACACGAGUCGCCAUCGUGUGGCGAAUAUCAAAGCCGCCGCCGCUUCACGUGUGCCCGGCGGUGGAGGGACGGCCGUCUGAUCCAACCAGGAUGAUCUUUUUUCGGUGUUAUUACUCACGUCCACAGGUGUGAUAAUAUAGUCGCGACACAUGCGCAAAUCGGGGUCAAAUUUGAUGCCAUUUUUAAAAAGAAAAUCGGGGUCAAAGUAGUAAAAGUUGUCUUGGCUUGCUCGAACCAUGGUGGGAUCUUCUGGGUGCUGGAGCUCUGCAGCGGAGCCUCCACCCAAACGUGCGCUGCUGCUUUAAUUAUUACUUUUGCAGCUCAAUGAUGCUUUGCACGUGUUUCGGGCAUUGACCGUCUCAAGAUGCACAUGACACUCCAGAUUUCAAGAAAUUAUAUGCAUUACGUAUUGCUAGUGAUUACAUGGCCAUUGACCAUUCACCUGGUUUGUUAGGGGAUGUUUGACUUAAAAGUCCUAGGACUUUUUCUAAUUCCAGUGACUAAUUAAAAAGGAUUCUUUAAUAGAGUUUUUUUUUCUAGUCCGUGUAAAAAAGUUUCUCCUGUUUGGUUUCUAGGGAUUUUUUAGGGACUUUUUCUAGUCUCUGGGACUAAAAAGUCCCUGAACCAAACACCCCUUUAUUUUCACUCUAAUUUAGGGUCUUAUUUUGGUCAUAAUUGUAACCAAUAAAAUAUAAGUUAUACAUAGCAAAAAAACAUUAUCGGAAACUAUGUUCAAAUACGAAUCAAAUGAUAUAAGUUUUGAUGACAUGUAUUAACAUAUUCUAGUUAAAUCUAUAAUUAAAAUUUGACACAACCUCCAAAGAAGAUCAAUAAACUAGGACGUUAGUAGGAGUAGUAAUUUGCAAAAAAAAAGUAUUACUAGUGAUUUUUCGUUCGCAGCUUUACUAUUUUUGGUCCUCGUAUUUUUUUGCGGGGUAUUUUUGGUGCUCAUUGUACAUGGUACUCCUUGUAGGUUGUUCGUGCCUGCAUGGAAUAUGCAAAAAUGCAGUUUGUGAAGUGUAUAAACCAAAGGCGUCUUGCCCUUACUUUCUAGUCGCGUGUUGACGAUCGGGUGAUUCUCAUGCAAGCGUGCACAACACUCUCAACUCUCAUGAUAUAUGGUCUUCAUGUCAAUGAUUGUCUCGUCUUUCUUUCGGUGAAUCUUUAAAAAUAAAAUACAAUUAACAUCACAUCGCAAGUCCAUUGGAAGGAGAUCAAGUUAUCAGCAUUGCAAUCAUGGAGCAUCCAUGAUAAAACAAAACAAGGUUUCGUGGGAAGCCAAAAAGGUGACAGCGUGGAAGGACCACGCAUGUCCACCGCAGAGAGGACGUUGCCGCAUGCUUCAUAGGCAGCAACUGCUGGUCCACGUCAAUCAGGCAAAUCCACUCUGUAAAAAGAACAAGUGAAAGUGCUUUUUUAUUAUUAUAAAAGAAUGCAUAUCUUGCCAUGCACAAAGAGUUCGAAGAAGAAGAAGCCAUUUGAUCUCUUGCAAAAAUUAAAUGAAAUGUUUGAUCAUACGAAAGAAAAUGCACUUUCAAUUGGGCAGAUCCGCAUAUGGUCACCUUUCCUUGGAGAUUAAUGCUUUAAUGGCUGAUAGGGAGUUUAUUCCAUACAAUUUACACAAAGAUCAAAAUAGAGUUGUAGAUUGGUUGGCUAGAUAUAGUCGAACUGAGUGUACCACAUUUGUGUGGUUACUUAGAGGGGCCCACAUACUGAGGAUUUCUUACAACACGAUUGUUACUUGAUAAUUUUGGAAUAAACCCCCCUUUACCACGCAAAAAGAGUCAUUGUUUGACAAGACCGCCUUAACGGACAGUCCUUUUCAACAAUGUGUGUCGAGUCUGUGUUGUUUGUCAGAUUGGUCGGUAGUGUCUUGUCUUUGGGACAGUGUAAUAUUGGUCUUCUCUUAGCGUUUGCGAGUUGGUGGCGGGCUUAGGUUCGUCGCCCUUGAUGCGUGUGUGGGAGGUUGUUCGGCGCAAAUGCCCUGCUCUGGGUUGUGGACGAGGUCGGCGACGGGGACGCCUUUGGGCGCCGCUUCCUGGUGGGGGCAUCAUUUUGAGAUUACUGCCCAUCCCCUAGCUCGAUGGCGGUGUUGUGUGUCUCUCUCUUCUUGAAUGCAUCCUCUCAUAGCAGAUAGGAUGAGAAAACUGGUGGCAGCUUGCUUAACGUGGUUUUGAGGGGCGGCUGCUCUCCUUGCUUUGAUAUGGCGUCGAGUUUUGGCAAAGAUGAUGGUGUCUAUUUGUAGGGGCAUGGCGGGACUUCAUUAACCAGUCCUUUCCAAUGUGUUCGACGAAUUUCCUCUUCUAUCUUGCUGUGUGGUCACGGAUUCGAAGCUGCACGAGAGGAGCCUAAGCGGCGACGAUGACAUGCAAUCGGUGGUUUUUGAGGGAAGACUUCGUCGAUGGGGCCCUACAUUUUUGUCUGAGUGAAACCGCCUUCCAAGUUCGAGUUGUCUUGUUCCUAUUACCGGGGGGCAUUUGUUUGGCAUAGAUCGAUGCACAUUUCAUGAAGUUGUUGCAGCAAGGGCACUAUUGCUUGUUGUUUGCGAUGAAGUCAAAGUCACUCGCUCGGGGAGGAGUGGUUGCGAUGACAUGUGCAAUCAACCUCGACGACGGUCCUCUCCUGGACGACAUGUAUGUGUUUUGUAUUAAUAGUCAGGCCGAGUGGGUGGUGCCCUUUUUGGCCAUUUAUAAUAGGUUUACGUCAGCUUUUCUCGUAAAAAAACAUGACAAUUAUCUUCAUCUUAAUGAAUGAGAUAAUGUAAAUCUUUUGUCAUCGUUUAAAAAGUAAUAAUCUUGAUCUUUAGUUCAUUUUUAAGUAAUGUAUUUUUUCUUUCAACUUAAUUAAUUGAGUGAGACAAUUUGUCUUAAAGUUAUAUAAUAAAUGUUCACGUACAUUGGAAUGAAGGAGAUACGAGAUACAUCGAAGGGAAUGGUAAGAAGUGAUAUAACGACGCAGCAAGAAAAAAGAAAGAAAAAACAUGACAAGUAUCUUCUUCUUAAUGAAUGAGAUAAUGUAAAUCUUUUGUCUCUGUUUAAAAACAAUAAUAAUUUUGAUCUCUAAUUAAUUUUUUAAGUAAUGAAAAAUUUCUUUCAGCUUAAUUAAUUGAGUGAGACAAUUUGCCUCAAAGUAAUGUAAUAAAUGUUGACAUACAUUGGAAUGAAGAAGACAUGAGAUACAUUGAAGGGAAUGAUAAGAACUGAUACAACGGCGCAACAAGAAAAAAAAUGAAGUCCUAAUUUUCCACUAAGCUAAGUCCAUUCGCAAACCAUGCACGAGAAUGUCCUCUUUUGCAGUACAACAUAAUCUUCUUUGUGUUGUUUAAAUUUUCCUCUUCAUUAGUUGCCCACACUGUUUGCUACUCAUUUCCUGCAAUAUCCAUUUUGUCCCUAGUGACUGCACCUGCAAAACAACGGGCUAUAAAUAUGUUCCCAUAAAACUUCAUAAACAUUUAAUUUCUAAAAAUCCUUAAUAACUACCUCGGGAAAUUCAGCAUCAUUUCGAAAUGCAACAAAAGUAUUUGGUCGCGAAGUUAUCAACCCAUGCCAUCUGAAGCAACAUUGUUUCUUGGACUAGAUACACCCAAAAAGGUAAAUUGGCUGUUUAGUUGGCUUUGCUAGCCUGCUUGUCGAGUUUCAACAACUUCUCUCUCCUUCAUAAAUAUUCAGACAAAAUAGUCUCUCGAUAAUUUGUCGGUGUGCGGUCAACCGACAAAAAUCUCGACUACAAAAAACAAGAUUGACUUUGCAGUCUUGUAUUCCGGGGCAAAAAUGCCAAAGUGCCGAUGGUUGGUUCACAGAUGCACUAAAUUCCUUUUCUCAAAAUCAAAUGUAAUCUAAAAAACGAACAAAAGAAAAAAGAUGCACUAAAAAUCCAUUGGUACAUUUUCUCCAAAAAAGAGAGAGAACUUUUUUCAAAACAAAAACCACAAAAACGCCCACCAACCAAAACAAAACGCCCGAAAUACAACAGCAACGCGCCCGCGUCAGACCCACGCGCGCACGCCCCCACUGCCACGCGGGCCCCACCCACGCCCUUCCACGCACUUGCGUCGCGGCUCGCGCAGACACGGCGAUACGUAGGCAGGCAGGCCCCCUCUCCCCGCACGAGCGAAAAGGCCACAGCAACGGUCACAGAUUGGGCUCCCCUCUCGUCGUCUCUCCCUCUCGCCAACGCCAGCCAAAUCUUCGCUUCCCAAAGCUCUCCCCUCCCUCCCUCCCCCCGUCGCUUCCCCAUCACGCCUGCUCCACGCGGCGGCCGCGAUUGAGCCCGCCGCCGCCGCCGCCGCCGAGCGCGCGACGACAUGGGCGCCGCCGACAACAACGCCGUACGUUUCUUCCCCGCCACUCCGGAAAGACCGCGCCCUGUUUAAUUCCGGGCGAUACGCCGCCGGCUGUCUCUGAGUUUGCUUGCUUCCGUGUUGUUCGCGUGUUUGCAGGCGCCGCGGCAUGGGCAGCAGCCGGAUGGGGCCCGAGGGCGGGCGCCGGCGCCGGAGCAGAGGGAGGUGAAGGUGGUGGUCGUGGACGGGCCGGCGCCGGCCGUGUCGAGGCUGCAGGCGCAGCGGCCCGUGGCGCCGCUGCAGGUGACCACGCAGGCGCCGCCGCCGCCCAUGUCGGUGGCCUCCGGCGGCGAGGACCCGCCGCCCGCGGCGGCCUACCCGCCGCUCAUGCAGCAGACCCCACCACAGGUACUCCUCCUCCCCCCAAAUCCCAACCACUAAAAUGCCCAAUUGACCGCUCGUUCCGCCCAUCAAAUUUCCAAUUCGAUUUUCUGUCAAAUUAUCUCGCACAAACAGUUAAUAGAUAGAUGGACUCCGGUCUUUCUAGGGCAUGUGCGCUUGUGUGUAGUGCGAUCGACAGUCGGUCGUCCCAGCUAGGCCCCUAGUCCCAACCCAGCAGUCCGGUUGGUACGCGAGUACUCCCACAAUAAUUUCCCUUGCCACUCUUGGGUUGGCAUUGCAAUGUGCACAGGCACGGCCCCGUACCCCUCACCUACUUGACAUUUUCGCGUAACAAAUUGCGCAUUUGGGUUGAAUUAUGCAGUGCUGCAUUGACACCAUCUUUCUUUUUUUCCAAACAAAAGUCUUAGUUGUGUGCUUAUGGUUGUACUCCUAUAAUACACCAGUUUGAUACCGACAGUUGCACUUGAUUUCUCAUCAGAACACUGUUUUUUAUUUGAAAGGCGGCUGAUGGCAUGUUGCAGGUUGAGAUAUUUCGAUUAGUGUGUUAUCGCUGUAGAAGCACAGCAACAACCAAAUAAUUCAUCACCGAUUGGAGCAGUUCUUUGCAAGCUCAAAUGCCCAUCCUCCUGCCUAGAGCGAGUGAGUACAAGAGGAUGGAUAAUGGAGGAGAGGGGGUUGUAGUGUUUGAGACGAUUUGUUUUUGCUAAUCAAAGCGGUAGUACUGCCUAACGUAUCACUUUAGUUAAUCUACUCACGGGUAACUUAAGCGGUAAAAGGCCUCUUAAAAUAUCCACGCAGAAUGUACCACGAAUCGAAUCGAAUCGAAUCGAAUCUUGGUAGUAGUAUGAUCUGGAUUAAAAAUAUCGAAUAUUCCAUAGGCGCCCAACCUCCUACCCGUUAGCAGCUAAUGACUUUACUAAUCCAAUUGGUCUCGAGUUAACUGGUUGUUUAAUUUGUUGCAGCCACUGGCGUCGUUGAACUCGCGCGUGUACACCAACCAGAUCACGCUGUGCCUCUUCCUGCUGCAGCUGGCGGCGGCGGGGCUCGCCGUCGGCUUCUUCGUGUACCGGGCCGUCAAGGACAUCGUGCAGGACCCGCGCUCCCGCAAUGCGCGGCGCGAGCAGAGCCUGCUCCGCCAGUGGCUGCCCCCCGUGGAGGGCGCCGUGGCGCUCAGCAUCCUACUGGCCUUCGCGUGGCAGAAGGCGGUGCGCGCGUGGCCGCGCGCCAUGGUGACCGUCAUCCUCUGGUCGGCCUUCGGCGUCACGCUCGCCGUCGGCUCCCUGCUCAUGUGCUUCUCCAUGCCGGCCACUGUGGGGCUCGGUGUGGCCUUGGUGGUCUUCUCCAUCGGCACCGGGCUGUACGCGUGCUGGGUGACCCGUCGCGUCGGGUUCACGGCGCGGGUGUUCGAGAAGGCGGUGCAGCCCGUGGACAAGUUCCGGGGGCUCAACGGCCCGGCGUGCCUCAUGGUGGCCGCCGGGUUCGUGUGGAUCUCCGUGUGGUGCGUGGCGGUCAUCGGUGCCGUCAACUUCCGGUUCCCUGGCCUCACCAUCCUGGCGCUGGUGGUGAGCCUGGCGUGGACCGCCGAGGUGAUGCGCAACGUGGCGAACCUGACGGCCAGCCGGGUGAUCGCGCUCUACUACCUCCGCGGCAUGCAGUCCAGCGUGCAGUUCAGCUUCCAGCGCGCGCUGUCGUACAACCUCGGCAGCGCCUGCCUCGGCUCGCUCUUCGUGCCCACCAUCGAGGCGCUCCGCAUCCUCGCCCGCGGGCUCAACCUGCUGGAGGGCGAGGACGAGUUCAUGUUCUCCUGCGCGCACUGCUGCCUCAACGUCAUGAACGCCGUCUUCGAGUUCGGCAACAGCUGGGCAUUCGUCCAUGUAAGCCUUCAGUCCGCUUCCAAUCAUCUUCAUCCUCUGUGCUGACAAGCUUAGUUGUGAGACUAACGGUGGAUGAACCUCAUGGCGCAGAUCGCGGCAUACGGGAGGGGGUUCGUGCAGGCGUCUCGGAGCACGUGGAGGCAGUUCGAGGGGCAGCCGGGGAUGCCGGCGCUGGCGGACGCGGACAUCACGAGCUCGGUGUGCUUCCUGACGGGGGUGACGAGCGGCGCGCUGUGCGUGGCACUGGCGGGGUCGUGGACGUUCGUGACGCACAGGCACUACACGGCCACGGUGUCGCUCAUGGCGUUCUACGUGGGGUACCUGAUGACCCGGAUCGGCAUGGCGCUGCCGCAGGCGUGCGUGGGCUGCUACUACGUGUGCUACGCCGAGAACCCCCGCUCCCGGCUCUUCGAGGACAGCCCCAUAGGGGAGCGGCUGAACAAGAUGAAGGAGGACGGGGAGGACGCGGUCGGGGUCGCGCCCACCCCGCGGUUCCCGCACCAGCACGUCAGCGCCGCCUGACCCCGGCCGCCGCCGCCGCCGUGUACAGGCAAGAACAUGUUAGCCCAAGAACCGGAUCGUGCGAUGUCAUUCCAUGGCUGCCGGUGCUGGCCGAGUUGACCGGCGGCGGCGGACUUGCAUUGGCGUCGCGUGAAAGCAAGGCAAGUGGGGAAGGAUGAUCGGAGAAGGGAUCUCGUACGACCCAUGCAGCGGAUCGUAGUACUCACGCUGUCGAGGAGCACGAGUUGAUGUUCUCCUCUUGUGUCUGAAAUAGUAGGGGCGACUCUUUUUGACGUUUCUGUAAAUUCCUCCAUUUUUUGGCAUGUGUUUUCACCCGUUGUUAGUGGUAGCAGAAGCCUGAGCAUUUCUUCUUUUAGGUGUAUUUAUUCGUCUAGCAAAAACUGUCACCGUGAUUGCAAGGAUGACAUGUGAAUAUUUUCUUGUAACAUCAUCUUUCUAGCGUUUUCAUCAGAUGGCAAGUGGCGGUGUUGGCAGAUCUUUGUUGUGAGUAUCUGAAAUUCUGAACCGAACAUGAUGAGAAACUGGACCGGGAUAGUAGCUGAGCCUGAGGGGCGUAGAGCAUGUGAAGUUAUGAACAGAGCAUGGUAAUGCACCCACCAGUAUGGUGACUGGUGAGUGGCAUUAACGAUUCUGCGCAGGUUCGUUCACGCAAUAAUGAUGCGUGGAACCGAACACAGCGGCAUGGUACAGAGGCAUGUUGCAACGUGCAGAGAGGAAAAGCCGCCAAGAGGAGACGGCCUCCUUGUCACAGGGAUUGGAAAGCCGAUGUGACCAAAUGUACAAGUCAUCAAAGUAUGCCCCUGGUUUCACGUAGGGUCAGAACACAGGCAUCGCAUCGGUUAAUCAAGGUUACACCUACCAUUCCUGAAACCAUCAACUUGAGGAGAUUGUGUUUUAAGGUCCGGUCUAUCAAUACAAGCUGUUGGUUGCUGUUUGACGCGACGAUGGCCUCUACUCUAUUAGAGACUAACUAAUUGUACUCAGUGUAGGCUGCUAUAUGUCGUCCAUCACCUUCAGGCAAAGAAAGGUACUAGUAGGAAACUGGAAGAGAAGGUACGUGCGCGCACGACCGCAACUGCGUCACCCUGUUUUGUCCGUUGCAUUUGUCACAUUGUUCUCAACUAGUGGUGCGCCCCUCCCCCUCGUGACGCUGACACACGCACGAGGCAGUUUCCUUCCGGUUCAUUCCCUUCAGGAGACCAACGGAAAAUCGCAUCGAUUAUUCAGUCAUUCUUCAAAAUUUAUUCAGUCAAAAAAAAAACUUCCUAAAAAAUUAUUCAGUCAUUGACCGAGGUCUGACUAAACUACCCUACGUAGCACUUCCAUUCUGCCUGCGCAUCGCAUGCAUCGAUCCUGCUCGAUCGCCGGUUUGCUUGAGUGUACGUGAUCUACCGGGUCCCUUUAUUCUCUUUUCCGGGCCGAUAAUAAUAAUCUUACGGUUUGGCCUGGUCAGCUGUAUGCAAUUCCUAGACCAGGAGAAUGUGAUUUCGCAAUACAUACUGGAGUGGAGUAUAUCCACAAAGGCCAAGUAUCACUGUAUAUCAGUGAAAAAACCACAAAUAACUUGUCUUGUAGGCCUCGGAUCUACAACAAAUUAACACCACUUACACGCACAUUCGUUAGUUACCCCGUUUCAAAAGCAGAUAACCCUCUUCUCUCGAGGCAAAGCUGGCUUGCAGGUUAAGAUAAUAAAUAAAUAACUUCAGUUAACUACUUUUUUUUGUUGGGAAACUUCAGUUAGCUACUUGCACAGUUAACUGAAGGGAAAUGCGAAGCAUCAGCGAAAAUCUACAAACUCCUCUCUUAGGACGCCGGAUCUACAGCAGACGGCAAGCAUGGACCGAAGGUGGGAUAUCUAAGUAGCAAGUACUUGGACGCCAGUUAGCAGCUAACCCACUCCACUCUCUUCACAAAAGCAGAUAACCCUUUUUUCUCGAGGCAACCUUGCAGGUUUUGACCGACAAACUCAUCUUCAGUUAGUAACUUGGAGUGGAGAUAUACUACUAGUACUACGUACGUACGUAGAGCUACGGCACACCUUUGCGCCCAAGUACGUCCUCGAUCCUAGCUAAUUAAGCUAGCUCACUGCUCACCAUGCUUGUAUCUACGAGCAUCCAUGUACAUACACUUGGAAGGUGAUAUGUCGAUCGACCACACACAAGAAACCAACACAACAAUGUAGUAGCCGUUGCACACAGGCCGGGCACACCGAGCAACUGUCAAACAGCUCCUACUAUUCGUCCCCAAACUAAGAAGAUGGUGGGAGAAACACACAAACCGGCCGGAGAUUAUUACAGACAUAAUGUAUAUGUCUAGGUGCGGUCAACACAUAGCUAGAGAAAUUCCUGAUCUAGAGUAGUACAGUACCGUGCCUGCUGCUAGCUAAUGCAUACAUAACAUGCCAUCCCUUGCUGCUAAUUAAGUUCAUUACAACUAGCCCAGCUCAGAUCGAACGACAACGACCAAACACACGCAAAGCAACACAACAUAGUACUACGUACUAGCUUGCACACCUUCCAGGGUUUUGGAGCCUGGACCCGAUCUUGACAUGCGAUCGAGGUAGCAAUAGCAUGCGCCUCAGACCUCCGCGCCGCCUGCGCCUUCCGCCUGGCGGGUUGCAGAAAGCCCGGACCUUGGCCACGAUGAACUUGCCGAUGCAGAAGAGGAUCCCCCCGUGAGCACGAGGAAAGGAUGAACACCACACCGGCAAAAAAGCCAUAAAAAAACCCCUUCUCGUACGGCGUCAUGCCUAGCUUAACAAGGCCAGGAGAUGGGGCAGGUGAGUGGAGAGUGUGAUCCAUGGGUGCGGAGGUGAACUUGAACAUGACCAGGCCCGGGUGGGAGGAAGGAGAUGGAGGGGUUAUAAAGACAGCCGUCUCUCUCUCUCUCUCUCUCUCUCUCUCUCUCUCUCUCUCUCUCACACACACACACACAAGCACACACACACACACACAGGCGCUCACGCGGGAGCUCUAGUCCAGUCCAUGUCCGUGUCCAUGGCUGUGCAGGCAGGCAGGCAUGUCCGCAUGCGGUUGAGCCCUUCUCAAAUGAGGAAAACGCGGCCAGCUAAGAGCAUCUCCAACAGCCGCGCUAAACUAGCGCCGCGCCGUAAAUUAGGCUGUUUUAGCGCGCGCGCAACGCGGCGGGUCGCUCCAGCGGGCGUGCAAAAAGCGCGCGCGCGCUAUAUCGGGUUGGGCGCGCGGUCGAAAACACUUAGCCGUGCGGUGUAUUUGGGGCGCCCGCUGCAGCGCGCGGCACACUCCAGCGCUCGUGCCCGCACUUCCUCUCCCACUUCCACCCCCCGUCCGGCCGCGCCGCCGUCGCCGCCCGCGCCCCCCGGCGACUGUUCAGGCUUCCCCGGCCUAUCCCCGCGCGCCCGCGCUUCCGCCCCAUCCCCUCCUAGUCCCGCUGGCGCUCGCGCGCCUCCGUCGUCCGAGGAACAGCGCUCGCUGCCGCGCCGCGCCCGCAAGGUGUUUGAAAAAACGCCUACAAGGUAUGUAUUGCUCAAACUUCAUGAAUUUGAUGCAUGUUUUGAAUUGUAGUUUUUAUAGUAUAGUAUUGAACAUUGUAGAUGAGUUCGUCGUAUGAUUCUUCCGAAGAAGAAUUUGAUAUGGAAGAGGAGGAGGAUCUUGCAAUGAUCCUAGCUAUGCAUAUAAAAAAACCGAAGCACGGUGGUUCGGUUAUGGGUCGGCAGAAAAUUUGGAGGGAUAGGAUCGAUGCCCACAACAGAUUGAUCAGGCAUUAUUUUGCGGAGGAUCCCAUAUACCCCGAGUCGUAUUUUCGUCGCCGGUUUAGGAUGAGCACCGAGUUGUUCAGGCGCAUUGCAGAGAAACUAGCGAGCCAUGAUCGUUUUUUUCAGCAAAGGAGGAAUGCCGCCGGAGAGCUCGGGCAUAGCACCUUUCAGAAGGUGACAGCCGCUUUGCGUAUGUUGGCAUACGGUAUACCGGCUGAUCUUGUUGAUGAUCACUUGGCUAUGGGUGAGAGCCAAGCCAUCAUGUGUGUCAAGCGCUUUGCAGUGGGAAUUGUGCAAGUGUUUGGCGAGGAGUAUUUGAGAUCUCCCAAUGCUGAAGACGUCGCAAGGCUAUUGGCGAUGAACAAAGCUCGCGGUUUUCCUGGCAUGCUUGGCUCAAUAGAUUGCAUGCAUUGGAGUUGGAAGAAUUGUUCAAAGGCAUGGCAUGGGCAAUUCCAAGGCCAAAAAAAGGGUUCCACUAUAAUCCUUGAAGCGGUGGCCGAUCAGGAGACUUGGAUUUGGCAUGCAUUCUUUGGAAUGCCUGGAUCUUUGAAUGACAUCAAUGUUGUCAACCGGUCACCACUGAUGAAUAAGAUUGCAAACGGUGAGUUGCCACCGGUGCGGUUUGUAGCAAAUGGCCGUACGUACAACUAUGGCUAUUAUCUAGCGGAUGGCAUCUAUCCAAAGUGGCAAACCUUCGUGAAGCCGUUGAAAAAGCCGGAAGGUAAGAAAAAUCUUGACUUCCACAAUGCUCAUGCGGCGGCUAGAAAAGAUGUGGAGAGAGCAUUUGGGAUUUUGCAAGCCCAAUUUGCUAUUGUGAGAGGACCGGCUAGAUUUUGGGAUCAAAAAAUGCUUUGGUACAUCAUGCAUGCUUGUGUGAUCAUGCACAAUAUGAUCAUCGAGAAUGAGCGUGGCCAAGAUUUAGACUACUCACAGUAUGAGCUCUUGGGAUAUCCCGUGCGAGUGCGACGGAGGGCUGAAAGGGUAGCCCGUUUUAUUGCCUCCUAUCAUGCCAUUCGGCGUCCCGCAACGCACAAUAAACUUCAGAAUGAUUUGAUUGAAGAGUGGUGGGCAUGGCAUGGACGAUAAAGAGCAUGAUGAUAUCUGUAUUCGACAUUGUAUUGUUCAUGAACUAUUUGUUGUGUUUAUUGCAUUUGUUGUACUGAACGAUAAACUAUUUGUUUGAGUUGUAAUGAUAACAAAAUUGAACUAUUUAUUGUUGAUUUAUUUUGUUUGUUUGAUCAGUUUUGCUCAUAAUACAUGUAUAUGUGGUUUGUGCGGCGCGCUGUAUUUUUGCGCUCCGUUGGAGCGGCGCGCGCGCUGCAUUAUAACGCGGCUGUUGGAGCCAACGCAGGCGGGCGCGCUAAACCAGGCGAAGCGCGCGCGGCAAACAAGUUUUUUGCACGCGGCGCUUAGCGCGGCUGUUGGAGAUGCUCUAAGGUAACCUGCAUUGAUGCAGCAGCACAUGUGAUCCAUCCAUCGAGAUAGGUAGCCAGGGGCGUCAUUUUCACCUCCAGGGAGUAGCAUGCUGAAUUGCUGAUGCACCGGCGACCUCUGCUGCAAAGUAAAUUAAACCAGUGCAUCCCAUGCACCCACGGGCUACAUCGAUCGAUCAUAUAUUUCUAUCUGUGUGCUGCUCGCAUUAACGGGCGUACGGGGCUAGCUCAUGGUACAUUCGCUCAUCCACAAAGUCCACGCGUACAUUAGACGGGGCGCCAUUUUUGCACUGAGAAAAGCUAGAUAAAGCUCACUAGAGAUAAUCCAGGACAAAGCUUGAGGCGCCAUCGAUCGGUCUUGGCAUACGUGGUGGCCUGGAGACGGAAAGCAGGUUGAGGAUGGAUGGAGCAUGAAGAAGAGCUGGUUUUGCAGUGUUGAAAGGGAGGUGAGAUUCAUCGGGUGACUCCACUGCAGGGGCAUGGUCAUGGACCACGCGUCACCUUUCAUGUAUCAGGAAACGCGCGUAAAAGGCUCUGCGCUUGUAAUUUGGCCCGGACUAGCAACCUGUGGAAAAAUGGACACGGUGAAUUGAAGCAUACAUGUGAGAUAGCAGGCGGUAGGAGCCCAUGCCCGCCCAGCCCGUCAUGCUUGCUAGUAGACCUGAUUCAAAACCGUGGGAGCCAACAGAUUAAGAGCAACACACGCCGCAUGGUCGAUGCCGUUGGAUGAAUCUGUAUAUAUGUAAAUAAAAUGCUGAAAGACUAUCACUAGUAGAAAACAGGGCUUUGGUCACAGGGCAAUAUUCACAUUAGUUUCGGUUCAGUCACGAACCGGGACUAAUGUGAGCAUUGGUCCCGGUUCGUGCGGCUAAGGCAUUAGUCCCGGUUCACCUGAGCCCUUUAGUCUCGAUUUGAGACACGACCCGAGACUAAAGGGUGCGAUGCCCUUUAGUCCCGGUUUGUGUCUCAAAUCGGAACUAAAGAGAUGAGCACCCUUUAGUCCCGGUUCGUGUCUCAAACCGGGACUAAAGGUCCCAUUUCCAAACUCUACCCCCCUAGAUCGCCUUUUUUGUUUUGAAAAAAAUCAAAAGAAAAUGAUAAAAACUUCAAAAAAUAAAAUCCUUCGAGAGGUAGUUAUAUUACUACAUCUACUAGUUAGGAAAAUUUAAAAACUUAAAUUUGGACAUGUUUUGUAAAAAAUGUAGGGAAAAUGUAAAACGGCUAUAACUUUUGCAUACGAUAUAGGAAAAAACGUAUAAUAUAUCAAAAUCUUCAGAACGAAAAUCCGCUUCCGAUUUUGACGGCCUACGGCCUGUUUGCAAAUUUUUAGAAUCUUCAAAUUCUAAAAGGAAAAAAAAGUUAUGCUCAAAUUUCAGUUUUUUUGUAUUUUCGUUAAAUCUGGUCAAACUACUUAUUCAAGAAGUAUUAGUGUUAUUAAAUAAUUAUUCAAGAAUAUUACUGUUACUAAAUAAUUAUUUUAGUUUUUUUUAAUUUUUGUCAAAUCUGGUCAAAUUGUGGUCUAACAAUGGUCAAACUACUUAUUCAAGAAAUAUUAGUGUUACUAAAUAAUUAUUUCGUUUUUUUUUGAAUUUUGGUCAAAUCUGGCUAAACUGUGGUCAAAAUAUUUAUUCAAGAAAUAUUAGUGUUACUAAAUAAUUAUUGUUUUGUACAAUAAUACUAGUUUUAAACUUAAACAGUGAAAUGUGUGACUUCAUGCUCAAGCUAAACUCUCGAGGGUUAAUAUGAUUGACAUCUUAUUAUUGUCAGGAAAACAACAAGUGCAGACUUGGAAACGAAGGAGAAUAGAACCCGAAAAUUAAGCGUGCUCGGGCUGGAGUAGUGAGAGGGAUGGGUGACCGGUCGGUAAGUUAGAUGAUUUGAAAUGAUGAGGGAUGAUUAGAGAUUAGAUAUUAAGUUGAGCAGUGAUGAGGGGUGGGUGAUUGGAGUAAAUUAUAAAAUAAUUCAGAAAUUUAAAAAUCGAGAAAAAAUUUCAAAAAGAAAAAUUUACCUUUAGUCCCGGUCAACCGAGACUAAAGGUGGAGCGCGAAGCAGAACGAACGAGACGGUGUGCCCGUCUGCUCACAGUCUUCACAAGGCAUGCAAUUUUUGGGAGCAACAGUUCUUCGAGUUAGGAGUUCGGUCCACACAUCUUAAUUUAUAACGAUAAAUCUAAAAAAAUCCGACGUUAGACUUUUAGCCAUCUCGGGAGAACAUGAUGCAUGGUUGUCAUUGGGUUAGCGCAUGAAUCUUGAAGCGGGGGACAGCAAACACGUCAGCAUACAAGACCACUGUGUCUUGUACUCUUGCUCAUCCUUACUCCCACCAUGCUUCUUUAAACCCCCGUCCCAAUUUUCCUAACGCCGCCCCAUCUCAUUUCCUCCCUCCCUGCUCACCGCCAUGGCAAGGGCGGCCAGGACGCGCACUCUGGGUGGGAUCGGUGCGCACACACGUAGCUCACGGGACGGGCUACGAGCACGACCAACAAAGAACAUUUGCCGACGCAAGUCGUGCUCGUGCUGGAACCAAGUGUUCCAGUGCGGCGAGUCCACGUCAUACCUGUGGUCGGCGAGGAGGUGGCGCAGGAUACGAGCUCGCCUACGAUUGAUCUUNNNNNNNNNNNNNNNNNNNNNNNNNNNNNNNNNNNNNNNNNNNNNNNNNNNNNNNNNNNNNNNNNNNNNNNNNNNNNNNNNNNNNNNNNNNNNNNNNNNNNNNNNNNNNNNNNNNNNNNNNNNNNNNNNNNNNNNNNNNNNNNNNNNNNNNNNNNNNNNNNNNNNNNNNNNNNNNNNNNNNNNNNNNNNNNNNNNNNNNNNNNNNNNNNNNNNNNNNNNNNNNNNNNNNNNNNNNNNNNNNNNNNNNNNNNNNNNNNNNNNNNNNNNNNNNNNNNNNNNNNNNNNNNNNNNNNNNNNNNNNNNNNNNNNNNNNNNNNNNNNNNNNNNNNNNNNNNNNNNNNNNNNNNNNNNNNNNUGGGCAUCGAACAACGGCGGCGGGGUGCCGGUCCCCCAGUAGCGCCGGUAUAUGUCCACCUUCACAUACGGCCGAAAGCGUGGAGGGGCUGCCGGAGGUGAGAUGGAGAAUUUCGGCGGCGAUGUGGAGUACACGGUCGCGCUGCGUGAAGACGCGGAGGACAACCCCGCCUCGUGGUUGUGCUUGGCCUUCUCAUCGGGCACCCACUUCCACAUGCCCAUUGUGGCAGUCGGCGGGGAGCAAGGGCCGAGUUUGGAUUUGGAUCCUGCUUGGGAGUUUUUUUUUACAUUCAACACCUCCUUUAUUAAUUGACUACAAUUGUAGCAUCAGAAACCAGAAGAGGAACAACAGCCAUCGGGGCUGCUUCCAUCCAUACAUUAGGAGGAGUGAAUCUAGCUAAUUCGUGGGCUACUUUAUUGUUCUCUCUAUAACAAUGUUCAAAAACAAUAUUAUUGAAAUCUAAGGAAAUGAAAAAACAAUCAUCAAAGAUCGCGCUGACCACCGAAGAUGAGUAUCCCUCUUUGAGUGCUGAGAUAACCUCCACGCUGUCUGAAUUCACUUCAAUUUUGUUGCACCCAACUGUACGGGCGAGGUUGAGUCCAAACCUAACUGCAAUGGCCUCUGCAGUGGAAGCAUCAUAGCAUAUUUCCAGUUUUUCAUUCGCGGCAGCUAUGAAUUUACCAUUAUGGUCUCUGAUGACAGCACCGACAGAACCUUCAAGUGAAUCGGGACCAAAUCCCACAUCCACGUUUAGUUUGGCGUAAUCCGUCCUUGGUCUUGUCUAGCCACCCACGCGAAUUUUCGGCUUUGAGGAACACGCAUCAGUAAAGUUUGCUGCCAAGGCUCGAACAACAAGGUUGAUCUGUGCCGCAGAUUGUGAAACAUCUCCAUGUGCAAUCUUCCUCCUUUCCCACCACAAAAACCAAUAGCAUGUAGCAACAGUUUCUCUCAGUUUUGGCAGACCUAGCACAUGGACAUGAUUGUCUGGUAAGCUGAGAAGAAAUUCCGACACUACCUCGCCGGACACACUAAUCUGUAGUCCAUUCUUUAUCACAUCCAGCACUCCCAGGAGUUUCCAUACCUGCACCGCAACAGGGCAUUCAAAAAGAAGGUGGCGGAUGCUCUCCGGUCCUUGAUUGCAUACUGGGCAGUGUGGCUUGAUCUUGAUAUGUCUAUCAGCAAGAAUGGAACGGCAUGGAAUAGCACUAAGAAGUACUCUCCAGACAAAAAAUUUAAUCUUUGAUGGGCAACUCAGACUCCACACCAAAUCCCAAGCAGGUGUUGGCGCGGAUGAGCACUCCAUGUCCUGCAGAUUGUGGCCAAACUUUGCUUCCCACACGGUAUGAUAUGCUGAUUUCACUGUGAACACUCCUGUUUUAGUGAAGCUCCAUGCUACAAAAUCUGUCAUUUCAUGUACUGGAAGUGGGAUUGCAAGAAUUCUCUGAGCAUCAACACUACAAAAAGUUUGGUUCACAAGCAGCGAAUCCCAGUCACCUGACACUAGAUCAAUAAGUUCUGACACCCGCGAGAGGUGAUGAUUUCCUCUACUAGAUAUAACUUUCCUGGAUGGUGAUUGUGGGAUCCAACUAUCCUCCCAUAUCUUAAUUUUUUGUCCAUCACCCACCCUCCAAAUGUGUCCAUGUUGGGGAUCGUAGCAGAAAUUUAAAAUUUUCUACGCAUCACCAAGAUCAAUCUAUGGAGUCAUCUAGCAACGAGAGGGAGAGGAGUGCAUCUACAUACCCUUGUAGAUCGCGAGCGGAAGCGUUCAAGAGAACGGGGUUGAUGGAGUCGUACUCGUCGUGAUCCAAAUCACUGAAGAUCCUAGCGUCGAACGGACGGCACCUCCGCGUUCAACACACGUACGGAGCGAUGACGUCUCCCGCGCCUUGAUCCAGCAAGGAGGAGGGAGAGGAAAAGGAAGAGGGCUCCAACAGCAGCACGACGGCGUGGUGGUGGUGGAGCUGUAGUACUCCAGCAGGGCUUCGCCAAGCUCUUGCGGAGGAGGAGAGGUGUUGGGGAAGGGAGGGGCUGCGCCUUGGAUGGUGUGUGUAGCCCUCCCCUUGCCCCUCUAUAUAUAGGGGAAGGAGGAAGGGGGCCGACCCCCUCUAGAUGAGAUCUAGAGGGGGGGGGGCAAGGGGAGGGAGCUUGCCCCCCAAGCAAGGGGGGCGCCCCCUUUAGGGUUCCCCCCCCCCAACCCUAGGCGCAUGGGCCCAAGGGGGGAUGCGCCUAGCCCAUGUAGGGCUGGUUCCCUUUCCUCUACAGCCCAUUAGGCCCUCCGAGAGAGGUGGCCCCUCCAGGUGGACCCCCGUAACCCCUUCGGUGGCCCCGGUACAAUACCGAUAUGCCUCCGAACCUUUCCGGUGACCGUAUGACAACUUCCUACAUAUAAAUCUUCACCUCCGGACCAUUUCGGAACUCCUUGUGACAUCCGGGAUCUCAUCCGGGACUCCGAACAACAUUCAUUAAUCACAUACAAGUCUUCCUAAUAACCCUAGCGUCAUCGAACCUUAAGUGUGUAGACCCUACGGGUUCGGGAACCAUGCAGACAUGACCGAGACAACUCUUCGGUCAAUAACCAACAGCGGGAUCUGGAUCUGGAUACCCAUGUUGGCUCCCACAUGUUCCACGAUGAUCUCAUCGGAUGAACCACAAUGUCGAGGAUUCAAGCAACCCCGUAUACAAUUCCCUUUGUCAAUCGGUACGUUACUUGCCCGAGAUUCGAUCGUCGGUAUCCCAAUACCUUGUUCAAUAUCGUUACCGGCAAGUCACUUUACUCAUUACGUAAUGCAUGAUCCCGUGACCAACUACUUAGUCACACUGAGCUUAUUAUGAUGAUGCAUUACCGAGUGGGCCCAGAGAUACCUCUCCGUCAUACGGAGUGACAAAUCCCAGUCUUGAUUCAUGCCAACCCAACAGACACUUUCGGAGAUACCUGUACUGCACCUUUAUAAUCACCCAGUUACGUUGUGACAUUUGGUACACCCAAAGCACUCCUACGGUAUCCGGGAGUUGCACAAUCUCAUGGUCUAAGGAAAUGAUACUUGACAUUCAGAAAAGCUCUAGCAGACGAACUACACGAUCUUGUGCUAUGCUUAGGAUUGGGUCUUGUCCAUCACAUCAUUCUCCUAAUGAUGUGAUCCCGUUAUCAAUGACAUCCAAUGUCCAUGGUCAGGAAACCGUAACCAUCUAUUGAUCAACGAGCUAGUCAACUAGAGGCUCACUAGGGACAUGUUGUGGUCUAUGUAUUCACACAUGUUUUAUGAUUUCCGGAUAACACAACUAUAGCAUGAACAAUAGACAAUUAUCAUGAACAAGGAAAUAUAAUAAUAACCAUUUUAUUAUGUCGCGACCGACUUUCCGGGAAAUAAAUUUCCAGAAAAGACCGUCGUGCUCAUCAGCCCCAGGAUUACUGUUAGCUGAUGAGGCUCCAACUUGAUACAGAAAUUCCAAGCAACAUACAAAAUAUGCAGUACAAGACCAUUCUGGCCUGUGAGUACAACAAAUGGUUUCUAGUGGUUGAUGGCGGAAGCGGUUUGUGGAUCAUCAGUGUCUAUGGGACUCCAAUUCCCACAGGAACAGCUGACCAGGUUAACUCCUAUCUUCGCGAGGCUGCUAUCUCCAUUGCUUAGGUUCCGGGCUGUCAUCGCGUCACUCCUCUCCGUGCAGGAAAAUCUGGCCAAGACAAUAGCCAGGGACAAGCCAGUGAGUACUUUGAAUGUACUCGCAAACAUUAUGAACACAGGUAUAAUAUAACAAUGAUAUGCCGAAAAUAUUUUUUAUGCUCAUGACGUCAGUCACAAUAGAUGAAUGAAACUCUGAUGCGUGCAAGCAAGUUAUUCAUAAAACUGCAAUAACAUGGUAGUAUAAAAACUUAUGAAAACAAAUAACAAGCAAUGCCACAGUCGGGCGUCUGAGCGACGCCACAUAAAGGGCUUUAAAAGAAAUGCCAUAGUCGGGCGUCUGAGCGACACCACAUAAAGGGCUUUAAAAGAAAUGCCACAGUCGGGCGUCUGAGCGACGCCACAUAAAGGGCUUUAAAAGAAAUGCCACAGUCGGGCGUCUGAGCGACGCCACAUAAAGGGCUUUAAAAGAAAUGCCACAGUCGGGCGUCUGAGCGACACCACAUAAAGGGCUUUAAAAGAAAUAAUCAUAAUGAAUAUCCCGGAGGUAGAACCAUCCCAGAGAUACUCGGUAAUAAUAUCACGGGUUAGUCAAUAAUAAUAAUAAUCAUCGAUAUCACAAGUCACGAGUAGUAAUUCCAUUUCUGGUUAACCGUUUCACCUCCGAAGACCGACACUAAGACCGACACCUGACCCAUCCCAGACUGUAAUCCUUAACCAUGGACACGGCUAUUCGAAUAGGUUUAUUCUCUGCAGAGGGUGUACUCUUUACCCACGAGUAACGGAUUUCUUUAGUCCAUCGGGACUAAUUCCGUCUACGGUCUUUUUGUUGAAAACACACCUAACUUGCACACACCAGCUUAUCACACACGUGCCUGGAAUCACCCACGACACCUGUUAAGCAAACUCUAAGUGGGGAGGCUACAACCUCACGUAGCAUGGGAUCAAAUUUAUAUCGCGCGCUCUAAGGGGUGGCCUCCCCUCUCGGUCCCAACCGGAAACACCCAUGCUCCCGGACCAGGUGGCCUGCCUACCAGUUACAACCGGUAUCUUCCACCAUGGCCUCUCUGUACGGUGUGUGCUAGAAAGAGGUUGACAACUUACUGAACCGUACUCUACUUGUUGUAGAGACGAGUGGUAGUACGAAACAAGUAUGGGGGUUACUGGAACAAGACUUGAUCUACGGUCGACUCAGGAGGUUCAAGUAUUCCCUGCAUGAUUAGUAUAACAAAUAUAUUUCAUCAAACAGAGUCACCACUCAUAUCACCCUACCAUGCCAUGCCAGACAGAACCGUCCCGACGGAGACCGGCGACAAACUCAUACCUACCCAAGGCAGAGGUUUUCCCGGGUUCCUGCCGGUAUGCAUGUCAAGCUCAUGAGGGUGAUUAUCAUCACAAGUGUGUCCAUUACCAACAGCAUGGAAAUCAGUAACACCCAUGCAUAUGAUCAUAUCACAUGAAAUAACAAGUCCUUCGAAAUGCGGUGGAGUUAUAAAUGCAUCAAUGAUCACUCCAAAAAAAUUAUUAUGCCGGGGUUCAGAAUGCUUGCCUUCAAUGUGUGGAAAGGCAGGGUGCUUUCCAAACUUUUGAAAGUUUCUUCUCUCUCCCAAAAAUCCUAUUUGAAAAUAUAUUUGAAUUAACACAUAUUUCAAAAACAUAACCAAAAAGUUGUUUGAAUUUUUUUUAAUAAAUCUUAAAAUAAACUAGAUCAAAUUUGAAGAAGGUAGGAAAAAGAAUCAACUCAUUUGGACUUAUAUUUAAAAAGUUAUAGCCAGUCAAAGAUUUGGUCAAAAUCUGUUUUUAAAUAAAAUAGAAAAAGAAAACGUUUCAGAUAGAAAUACGCCUUCGGUACAGAGGAGGCGUACUUGAGGCUUUACGCCUCCACUUAACCACGCGGACGGCGCGGGGUGUCACUGACAGUGGGCCUGCCUGGCCCACUGGUCAGGUUUGACCAGUCACCGCGCGUCGUCUCCCUCCUUUGCCCGAGCGGAGCGGGGCUCCGGCGAUCGUCGCCGGCGUUUGGCUGCUCCUCGCGGGCCCCCGAGGGUGGGGAUGGAUCCGCAAGGUUGAGGCAAUCCUCCCGGUAGUCGCUGGGUCGGCGGGGACGGCGUGAGCUGUCGGCGGCGAGCUCCUCGGCGGAGGGAAGCUUCGGGGAAAAGUGGUUUCGGGGUGGCGGUGGUUCUUGAUCGAAAUGGAGUAGGGGGAAGGUUUACGGGAGGAUGAGGGGGUUCUUGGUGGAGAGAACGGAGGAUGGGAGGCCCUGGUGGUGCCGAAUUGGCCGGGGCAGUGGUGGCGGCUGCCGUUGCCGGAGAUGGGGAUGAAGACCUUCCCCGAGUCGAUUGGCUGCCAUGGGAGGACUAGGGGAGCACUCUAAGGCUUCCUGCGUGCCCGGGGUGGCUCGGGACCUCCUCUUAUAGCCCGUCGAGGUCGGUUCCGCGGCGGCCGGAUAAGCUCUCCGGCGAACCGCCUCGCUGUAGCUUGCAGGGCAACGUGGCGCGGCUGGGGAUGACGAUAAGAGCUAGUGGACGAGAGGGCACUGCUCCAGGGGCCAGGUGGCGAGCCGGGGUGGCUUGGGCGGCGCUGCACGGCGCAGGGCUGUCGGGCGGCGGUGGCGGCUAGUGUUUGGCCUGCCGGGCGCGGCGGGGGCUGCUUGGCGCGUUGCUGCGAGGAGGGGAGCGCGUGGCGUGGUGCUGCAGAGCGGGCCAAAGCCGUGGGGGCCAGCGUGUCGGCUCGGGCGCGCGGCUGCAAUACGCGCGCUCUGGGCGCGUCCAGUGCACGCACACCAGGUGUUCGACACAAUGUCGAGGCAUGCUACAGGUCGCAGGUGAGGAUGGGAUUUACCAGAUCAAGGUUAGGAGCAACGGGGAGUCUAGUGGACAUGCUGGUUUGAUCAGAGGUGCAAGUUCACAGUGCAAUGCCACAAUCAUGCCAGAACUGGUCAUGCUCUCCAGGUGUUUGGCAAAAUGCCACAUGCACUUAGGCAGGUCUUGGGGUGGCCAAAAACUCCAGAUGGGGGUCUCUUUAGAUGCAAAAGAGAGUGGUGAGGUUAGUUGGACAAAAGGGGAAACUUGCUAGUGCAAGUUUUACAAAACUUCAAUUCUGGACAGGAAAUAAAUAGCAUUAUUCCAUGAACUAAAAGUGAUCUAAAUGGUGCAUGCUCCUGGACUUAAGGGUUUAACAUGGGGGACUACAAGUAGGAGAAAUAAUUAAGGGUAUAUGAGCAACUAAAAUGGUGGUUGCUGCACAAAUCCUCAAGUUGGUCCAGAAUGGAAAUGAGGUUGAUUCACUCAAAUUUUUCAAAGAACAUAAUUAGAUUUUUGCACAAAGAGGGAUAACAGGCUCCUACUGACCUCCCUUAAUUUUGGUAGAAGUUUUAAAGAAAUAUUUAAAUAGGUUGCUGUAAAAAAAUGCACUCUGGACCAGAGAAGAAAAAUUGAGAGUAGGGCUCAAAAUAUUUCAUGAAUGAAAUAUAUUUUUGCAUAAAAGUUAUUUAAAAUCAUCACAUGACAUCUCCAAAUUUUUAUGGGAAUUUUAAGUGAAUUUAUCAAAUGGUUGUAGUUCAAAUAUGGCCAUUUAACCUAGAAAACCUUUUUCAAGAAAAUAAAGAGCAAGCAACUUAUUUAUUUAAUUAGUUAUACUGAUAAAAGGAAAGUUUUUCUUGAGAGGUUAAAUAAGUCCAAUAACAAAUUUGAAAAGUUUUCUCUUUGGGAAAACUCAUCAUAACAGGGAAGGAAAUGAUUUAAAAAAAAUCAAAAUGGAGCUCAGAAAUCCAAAGUUUUAAAUCCUGGCAAAAAUUUUAAUUUAAUAAAACAAGGCCAAAUUUUUGGGGUGUCACAUAUUUCCAACAGUCUCCCACUUGCACUAGAGUCAAUAAUCUAGUUACAUUGUGAUGAAUCGAACACCCAUAGAGUUCUGGUGUUGAUCAUGUUUUGCUCGAGGAAGAGGUUUAGUCAAUGGAUCUGCGACAUUCAGGUCCGUAUGCACUUUACAAAUAUCUAUGUCUCCAUUUUGAACAUUUUCACGAAUGGAGUUGAAGCGAUGCUUGAUAUGCCUGGUCUUUCUGUGAAACCUGAGCUCCUUGGCAAGUGCAAUAGCUCCAGUGUUGUCACAGAAAAGAGUCAUCGGGCCCGACGCAUUGGGAAUAACUCCUAGGUCGGUAAUGAACUCCUUCACCCAGGUUGCUUCUUGUGCUGCCUCCGAGGCGCCAUGUACUCCGCUUCACAUGUAGAUCCCGCCACGACGCUUUGCUUGCAACUGCACCAGCUGACUGCCCCACCAUUCAAAAUAUACAUGUAUCCGGUUUGUGACUUGGAGUCAUCCAGAUCUGUGUCGAAGCUAGCAUCGACGUAACCCUUUACGACGAGCUAUUCGUCACCUCCAUAAACGAGAAACAUAUCCUUAGUCCUUUUCAGGUACUUCAGGAUAUUCUUGACCGCUGUCCAGUGUUCCAUGCCGGGAUUACUUUGGUACCUUCCUACCAAACUUACGGCAAGGUUUACAUCAGGUCUGGUACACAACAUGGCAUACAUAAUAGACCCUAUGGCCGAGGCACAUGGGACGACAUUCAUCUUUUCUCUAUCUUCUGCCAUGGUCGGGCAUUGAGCCGUGCUCAAUCUCGUACCUUGCAACACAGGCAAGAAUCCCUUCUUUGACUGAUCCAUAUUGAACUUCUUCAAUAUCUUAUAAAGGUACGUACUCUAUGAAAGACCAAUGAGGCGUCUCGAUCUAUCUCUAUAGAUCUUGAUGCCUAAUAUACAAGCAGCUUCUCCAAGAUCCUUCAUUGAAAAACACUUGUUCAAGUAGGCCUUUAUGCUUUCCAAGAAUUCUAUAUCAUUUUCCAUCAAUAGUAUGUCAUCCACAUAUAAUAUGAGAAAUGCUACAGAGUUCCCACUCAUUUUCUUGUAAACACAGGCUUCUCCAUAAGUUUGUGUAAACCCAAACGCUUUGAUCAUCUUAUCAAAUCGAAUGUUCCAACUCCGAGAUGCUUGCAGCAACCCAUAGAUUGAGCGUUGGAGCUUGCACACCUUGUCAGCAUUCUUAGGAUCGACAAAACCUUCCGGCUGCAUCAUAUACAAUUCUUCCUUAAGGAAACCAUUAAGGAAUGCCGUUUUGACGUCCAUUUGCCAUAUCUCAUAAUCAUAGAAUGCGGCAAUUGCUAACAUGAUUCGAACGGACUUCAGCUUCGCUACGGGUGAGAAAGUCUCAUCGUAGUCAACCCCUUGAACUUGUCGAUAACCCUUAGCGACAAGCCGAGCCUUAUAGAUGGUCACAUUACCAUCCGCGUCUAUCUUCUUCUUAAAGAUCCAUUUAUUUUCUAUGGCUCGCCGAUCAUCGAGCAAGUCAGUCAAAGUCCAUACUUCGUUUUCAUACAUGGAUCCUAUCUCGGAUUUCAUGGCUUCCAGCCAUUUGUCGUAAUCUGGGCCCGCCAUCACUUCUUCAUAGUUCGAAGGUUCACCAUUGUCCAACAACAUGAUUUCCAGGACAGGGUUGUCGUACCACUCUAGUGCGGAACGUGUCCUUGUGGACCUACGAAGUUCAGUAGCAACUUGAUCUGAAGUUUCAUGAUCAUCAUCAUUAACUUCCUCUCUAGUCGGUGCAGACACCUCAGGAACAUUUUCCUGAGCUGCGCCACUCUCCGGUUCAAGAGGCAAUACUUCAUCAAGUUCUACUUUCCUCCCACUUACUUCUUUCGAGAGAAACUCUUUCUCUAGAAAGGACCCAUUCUUGGCAACAAAGAUCUUGCCUUCGGAUCUAAGGUAGAAGGUAUACCCAAUAGUUUCUUUAGGGUAUCCUAUGAAGACGCAUUUUUCCGAUUUGGGUUCGAGCUUUUCAGGUUGAAGUUUCUUUACAUAAGCAUCGCAUCCCAAACUUUUAGAAACGACAGCUUAGGUUUCUUCCCAAACCAUAAUUCAUACGGUGUCGUCUCAACGGAUUUCGACGGAGCCCUAUUUAAAGUGAAUGCGGCAGUCUCUAAAGCAUAGCCGCAAAAUGACAGCGGUAGAUCGGUAAGAGACAUCAUAGAUUGCACCAUAUCUAAUAGAGUGCGAUUACGACGUUCGGACACACCAUUAUGCUGAGGUGUUCCAGGCGGCGUGAGUUGUGAAACUAUUCCACAUUUCCUUAAGUGUGUGUCAAAUUCGUGACUCAAAUAUUCUCCCCCACGAUCUGAUAGUAAGAACUUGAUUUUCCUGUCAUGUUGAUUCUCAACCUCACUCUGAAAUUCUUUGAACUUUUCAAAGGUCUCAGACUUGUGUUUUAUUAAGUAGACAUACCCAUAUCUACUCAAGUCAUCAGUGAGGGUGAGAACAUAACGAUAGCCACCGAGAGCCUCAACACUCAUUGGACCGCACACAUCAGUAUGUAUGAUUUCCAAUAAGUUGGUUGCUCGCUUCAUUGUUCCGGAGAACGGAGUCUUGGUCAUUUUGCCCAUGAGGCAUGGUUCGCACGUGUCAAAUGAUUCAUAAUCAAGAGACUCCAAAAGUCCAUCUGCAUGGAGCUUCUUCAUGCGUUUGACACCAAUGUGACCAAGGCGGCAGUGCCACAAGUAUGUGAGACUAUCAUUAUCAACCUUACAUAUUUUGGUAUUCACACUAUGAAUAUAUGUAACAUCACGUUAGAGAUUAAAUAAGAAUAAACCAUUGACCAACGGAGCAUGACCAUAAAACAUAUCUCUCAUAUAAAUAGAACAACCAUUAUUCUUGGAUUUAAAUGAGUAGCCAUCUCAUAUUAAACGAGAUCCUGAUACAAUGUUCAUGCUCAAAGCUGGCACUAAAUAACAAUUAUUGAGGUUUAAAACUAAUCCUGUAGGUAAAUGUAGAGGUAGCGUGCCCAUGGCGAUCACAUCGACCUUGGAACCAUUCCCGACGCGCAUCGUCACCUCGUCCUUCGCCAGUCUCCGCUUAUUCCGCAGCUCCUGUUUUGAGUUACAAAUAUGAGCAACCGCACCGGUAUCAAAUACCCAGGAGCUACUACGAGUACUGGUAAGGUACACAUCAAUAUGUAUAUCACAUAUACCUUUGGUGUUGCCAGCCUUCUUAUCCGCUAAGUAUUUGGGGCAGUUCCGCUUCUAGUGACCACUUCCCUUGCAAUAAAAACACUCAGUCUCGAGCUUGGGUCCAUUCUUUGGCUUCUUCCCGGUAGCUUGCUUACCGGGCGCGGCAACUCCCUUGUCGUCCUUCUUGAAGUUCUUUUUACCCUUGCCUUUCUUGAACUUAGUGGUUUUAUUCACUAUCAACACUUGAUGUUCCUUUUUGAUUUCCACCUCCGCUGAUUUCAGCAUUGAAUAUACCUCAGGAAUGGUCUUUUCCAUCCCCUGCAUAUUGAAGUUCAUCACAAAGCUCUUGUAGCUAGGUGGGAGCGACUAAAGGAUUCUGUCAACGACCGCAUCAUCCGGGAGAUUAACUCCCAGCUGAGACAAGCGUUUGUGCAACCCACACAUUUUGAGUAUGUGCUUACUGACGGAACUAUUCUCCUCCAUCUUACAACUGUAGAACUUGUCGGAGACUUCGUAUCUCUCGAUCCGGGCAUGAACUUGGAAAACCAUUUUCAGCUCUUGGAACAUCUCAUAUGCUCCGUGUUGCUCAAAACGCUUCUGGAGCCCCGGUUCUAAGCUGUAAAGCAUGCCGCACUGAACCAGGGAGUAAUCAUCAACAUGGGACUGCCAAGCGUUCAUAACGUCUUGGUUUGCUGGGGGUGGUGCUUCACCUAGCGGUGCUUCAAGGACAUAUGAUUUCUUGCCAGCUAUGAGGAUGAUCCUCAAGUUCCGGACCCAGUCUGUAUAGCUGCUACCAUCGUCUUUCAGCUUGGUUUUCUCUAGGAACGCGUUGAAGUUGAGGACAACAUUAGCAUGGGCCAUUUGAUCUACAAGGCAUAUUGUAAAGAUUUUAGACUAAGUUCAUGAUAAUUAAGUUCAUCUAAUCAAAUUAUUUAAUGAAUUCCCACUCAGAUAGAAAUUCCUCUAGUCAUCUAAGUGAUACAUGAUCCGAUUCAACUAGGCCGUGUCCGAUCAUCAUGUGAGACGGACUAGUCAUCAUCGGUGAACAUCUUCAUGUUGAUCGUAUCUUCCAUACGACUCAUGUUCGACCUUUCGGUCUUCCGUGUUCCGACGCCAUGUCUGCACAUGCUAGGCUCGUCAAGUCAACCUAAGUGUUUUGCGUGUGUAAAUCUGGCUUACACCCGUUGUAUGCGAACGUUAGAACCUAUCACACCCGAUCAUCACGUGGUGCUUCGGAACAACGGACUUUAGCAAUGGUGCACAGUUAGGGAAAACACUUUCUUGAAAUUAUUGCGAGGGAUCAUCUUAUUUAUGCUACUGUCGUUCUAAGCAAAUAAGAUGUAAAACAUGAUAAACAUCACAUGCAAUCAAAUAGUGACAUGAUAUGGCCAAUAUCAUUUUGCUCCUUUUGAUCUCCAUCUUUGGGGCGCCAUGAUCAUCAUCGUCACCGGCAUGACACAAUGAUCUCCAUCAUCAUGAUCUCCAUCAUCGUGUCUUUAUGAAGUUGUCUCGUCAACUAUUACUUCUACUACUAUGGCUAACGUUUAGCGAUAAAGUAAAGUAAUUACAUGACGUGUAUGUUGAAACGCACGUCAUAAAUAAAUUAAGACAACUCCUAUGGCUCCUGCCGGUUGUCAUACUCAUCGACAUGCAAGUCGUGAUUCCUAUUACAAGAACAUGAUCAAUCUCAUACAUCACAUAUAUCAUUCAUCACAUCCUUUUGGCCAUAUCACAUCACACGGCAUAUGUUGCAAAAACAAGUUAGACGUCCUCUAAUUGUUGUUGCAAAUUUUUUACGUGACUGCUAUAGGUUUCUAGCAAGAAUGUUUCUUACCUACGCCAAAAACCACAACGUGAUAUGCCAAUUUCUAUUUACCCUUCAUAAGGACCCUUUUCAUCGAAUCCGAUCCGACUAAAGUGGGAGAGAGAGACCCCCGCUAGCCACCUUAUGCAACUAGUGCAUGUCAGUCGGUGGAACCAGUCUCACGUAAGCGUACGUGUAAGGUCGGUCCGGGCCGCUUCAUCCCACGAUGCCGCCGAAUCAAGAUAAGACUAGUAACAGCAAGUAAAUUGACAAAAUCGACGCCCACAACAACUUGUGUUCUACUCGUGCAUAGAAACUACGCAUAGACCUAGCUCAUGAUGCCACUGUUGGGGAUCGUAGCAGAAAUUUAAUAUUUUCUACGCAUCACCAAGAUCAAUCUAUGGAGUCAUCUAGCAAUGAGAGGGAGAGGAGUGCAUCUACAUACCCUUGUAGAUCGCGAGCGGAAGUGUUCAAGAGAACGUGGUUGAUGGAGUCGUACUCGUCGUGAUCCAAAUCACCAAAGAUCCUAGCGCCGAACGGACGGCACCCCGCGUUCAACACACGUACGGAGUGAGGACGUCUCCCACGCCUUGAUCCAGCAAGGAGGAGGGAGAGGUUGAGGAAGAGGAAUCCAACAGCAGCACGACGGCGUGGUGGUGGUGGAGCUGCAAUACUUCGGCAGGGCUUCGCCAAGCUCUUGCGGAGGAGGAGAGGUGUUGGGGAAGGGAGGGGCUGCACCUUGGAUGGUGUGGGCAGCCCUCCCCUUGCCCCUCUAUAUAUAGGGGAAGGAGGAAGGGGGCCGGCCCCCUCUAGAUCUGGUGUGUGCAGCCCUCCCCUUGCCCCUCUAUAUAUAGGGGAAGGAGGAAGGGGGCUGGCCCCCUCUAGAUGAGAUCUAGAGGGGGGCGGCGGCCAAGGGGAGGGGGCUUGCCCCCCAAGCAAGGGGGGCGCCCCCUUUAGGGUUUCCCCCCAACCCUAGGCGCAUGGGCCCAAGGGGGGGAUGCGCCCAGCCCAUGUAGGGCUGGUUCCCUUUCCUCUACAGCCCAUUAGGCCCUCCGAGAGAGGUGGCCCCUCCCGGUGGACCCCCGGAACCCUUUUGGUGGCCCCGGUACAAUACCGAUAUGCUCCUGAACCUUUCCGGUGACCAUAUGACAACUUCCUACAUAUAAAUCUUCACCUCCGGACCAUUCCGGAACUCCUCGUGACGUCCAGGAUCUCAUCCGGGACUUCGAACAACAUUCGGUAAUCACAUACAAGUCUUCCUAAUAACCCUAGCAUCAUCGAACCUUAAGUGUGUAGACCCUAUGGGUUCGGGAACCAUGCAGACAUGACCGAGACAACUCUCCGGUCAAUAACCAACAGCGAGAUCUGGAUCUGGAUACCCAUGUUGGCUCCCACAUGGUCCACGAUGAUCUCAUCUGAUGAACCACGAUGUCGAGGAUUCAAGCAAUCCCGUAUACAAUUCCCUUUGUCAAUCGGUACGUUACUUGCCCGAGAUUCGAUCGUCGGUAUCCCAAUACCUCGUUCAAUCUCGUUUCCGGCAAGUCACUUUACUCGUUACGUAAUGCAUGAUCCCGUGACCAACUACUUAGUCACACUGACCUCAUUAUGAUGAUGCAUUACCGAGUGGGCCCAGAGAUACCUCUCCGUCAUACGGAGUGACAAAUCCCAGUCUUGAUUCAUGCCAACCCAACAGACACUUUCGGAGAUAUCUGUAGUGCACCUUUGUAAUCAUCCAAUUACGUUGUGACGUUUGGUACGCCCAAAUCACUCCUACGGUAUCCGGGAGUUGCACAAUCUCAUGGUCUAAGGAAAUGAUACUUGACAUUCAGAAAAGCUCUAGCAGACGAACUACACGAUCUUGUGCUAUGCUUAGGAUUGGGUAUUGUCCAUCACAUCAUUCUCCUAAUGAUGUGAUCCCGUUAUCAAUGACAUCCAAUGUCCAUGGUCGGGAAACCGUAACCAUCUAUUGAUCAACAAACUAGUCAACUAGAGGCUCACUAGGGACAUGUUGUGGUCUAUGUAUUCACCCAUGUAUUACAAUUUCUGGAUAACACAAUUAUAGCAUGAACAAUAGACAAUUAUUAUGAAUGACGAAAUAUAAUAAUAACCAUUUUAUUAUUGCCUCUAGGGCAUAUUUCCAACACACCCACCCUCCAAAUGUGUCCAUGUUUCAAAGUUUCCACUCCUGCCAUUAUGCUUUGCCACGUAUAAGAAGCCUUCUUCUUCAACCUAGCAUUCAUAAGGUCAUCAUUAGGAUAAUACUUUGCUUUAAGAAUCUUUGCACAGAGAGAUUCAGGAUCAUCAAUAAGCCGCCAUGCUUGUUUAGCCAAUAACGCCAAAUUAAAACAAUGGAUGUCUCUAAACCCCAUUCCUCCUCUGCUCUUUGGGAUGCACAUCUUCCACCAAGUAAACCAAUGCAUUCUCUUGUGUGACGCAUCAUCACCCCACCAGUAACGCGAGAUCACAUCUCUAAUUCCUUUGCAGAUUUUCUUAGGAAUUUUAAACACAGACAUCGCGUACGUUGGUAUGGCUUGUGCAACAGCUUUGAUAAGCACUUCCUUACCUCCAGCAGACGAACAUUUUUCCUUCCACCCUGACAAUUUCAAGAUCAAUCGAUCAAUUAAUUAUUGAAAACUCUCAGUUUUGUCCAAUCCUAGGGUUGUGGGCAACCACAAAUAUUUGUCAUUCAGAGCCUCCGUCAUGAUAUUAAGAAUAAUGCAGACUUGAGACUUGAUGUUUGCAUCCGUACUAGGACUGAAAAAUACUGGAUUUAUCCACACUCACCAACUGGCCAGAAGAACCACAAUAAGAAUCCAGAACAGAUUUCAAACUUAUUGCAUUCGACACAUUAGCUUUCAUCAGAAUUAAGGAGUCAUCCGCAAACAAGAGAUUUGUAACAGAGGGUGCAUCUCGACAAACCUUAAUCCCCACAAUCUCACUUGAUUGCUCUACAUGGUUCAGUAGUGCUGUCAGUCCCUCAGUAACUAGCAAAAAUAAGUAGGGUGAUAAUGGGUCACCCUGGCGAAGGCCACGCGAAGGUUUGAUAGUAUCUGUUUCAACCGAAUUGUAUCUUACUCUGUACUCCAAUGAUACACAAACCAUGAUCAUAUUAACCCAAUCAGCCCUGAAUCCUAGUUUUAAUAGCAUUGCCUCCAAGAAAACCCACUCAACACGAUCAUAGGCUUUAUGCAUAUCCAAUUUUACCGCACACCAUCGCUUUUUACCUUUUUUCUUCUGUUUAAUUGCAUGGAGACUCUCGUAGGCUAUUAAGACAUUGUCAGUGAUGAGCCUCCCUGGAACAAAGGCACUCUGUGUGGGACCAAUGAUUUCUGGGAGCAAAAUUUUCAGUCUUGUAGCAAUCAUCUUUGAAAUAGUUUUAUAGACCACAUCGCACAAGCUAAUAUGUCUGAACUAUGUAACUUUCUCAGGUGUGUUUACCUUGGGGAUCAUAACAAUAGUUGUGUCAUUCCAUCCUGGUGGCAUCACCUGUGAGUUAACUGCAGUAAGAACUUCCAUCACAAGAUCUUCCCCUAGCAUUGGCCAAAACCUCUUAUAAAAAACUGCAUGCAAUCCAUCCGGCCCGGGAGCUUUAAGGUCACCAAUCGAGAGUGUUUGGGAGUUGGCUUCCUAAGUGGGUCAUAUUUAAGCUGGUCGGCCUGGGGGGUGGGGGUUGCAAUUCAAGAGACGUGUCAUGUAGUACGUCGUUCAUCGUCUUCAGGCAAAGAAAGGUAGGAGGAAGCUGGAGAGCUGCGCGCACGACCGCAACUGCGCUGCACAAGCUUUUUGGUUCCGUUGCAUUUGUCAUGUUGUGCUCAACUGACGGUGCGCCACCUCCCUCUCCCUCUCCCUCCCCCUUGUGACGCUGACGCACGCACGACGCCGUUCUUGGUGCCGACCGAUUUUUCUUCAGGAGAGGAGACCAACGGAAAAUUGCACUCGAUUGGGGCGUUGACCGGAGUCAAACUAAACUACUCGACCUUGAGCUUGCUUUCCUUCGUACGUGUUGAUUUUCAUUUGGUUUGUUCCACCAUGGCCGUACCUGUACGUAGUCUUGUAACCCAGCUUAUAUAUUCAUGCGUGAUACUACUAGAGAUGUGCGCGCGCAUGAUAGCUUUGCUUAACCCGGCGGUGCGCCACACCUUUUUCCCCCGGGUAAUAUAUCGUACGGGCUGGCCUGGCUAGCUAGCUGCAAUUUGUAGACUAGGAGAGUGUGAUUCGAAAAUUCCGCAAUGUAGGAGUAUAUAUACGAAGGCCAAGUAUCACAGCAUAGUGAAAGAAAAAUCUACAAACUUGUCUUUUGUUUUUGUAGGCCACGGAUCUACAACAAAUUAUCUCCCACUACACUCUGUUUAGAAAAGCAGAUAACCUUUUUUUCUCAAGGCAAAGCUUGCAGGUUUCAACCAAAGAACUCAACACUUCAAUUAACUUGGAAUGGAGAUAUUACUAGCUAGUGUACGUGCUCCUAGCUAAUUAACCUAGCUCCAUCCUUGCAUCUACGAGCAUGCAAAUAACCACAUAACAGCGCACAGGGCACACCGAGCAACUGUCAAACAGCUCCUGCAUGCCAUGCAUUCGUCGCCAAAUUAAGAAGAUCGAGGGAGAAACACACGAAGCGGCGGGAGAUUAUUACAAACAUAAUACUAGGAGUAGAUGCCUGCUGCGGCCAACACAUAGCUAGAGAAACUCUAGAUCUAGAGUAGUACAGUACCAUGCCUGCUGCUAAUGCAUACGCAGUACAUACCGUGCCAUCCCUUGCUGCUAAUACAUAGCUCAGAUCGAACCACCAAACACAGGCAACGCAGCACUACAUAUAUACUACAGCAGCUUGCACACCUUGAACCAUGAUCUUGACGUGCGAUGGAGGUGGCACGCACCUCAGACGGCCGCGCCGCCUGCGCCUUCCGGCUGGCCGCCAGCCCCGUGGUUGCCGCCGUCGCCUCGGCAAGCCUGAACCACCCUCACAAAGAUCUUGACGAUGCAGAGGAGGAUCACCCCCGUGAGCACGACAGCAGGGAUGAACAGCACACAGGCAAAAAAGCCAUCCCAAAAACCUUUCUCGUACGGCGUCAUCGCUAGAGGAGGAGGUGGAGAUGAGUGGAGAGUGCGACACAGAGCUGAACUUGAACAAAGACCAGGCCGGGGUGGGAGAAAGGAGAUGGAGGGGUAUAAAGACAGCGGGCUAUCUCUCUCUCUCUCUCUCUCUCUCACACACACACACACACACACACACACACACACACACACACACACACACACACACACACACAAGCCAGGAUGGAGGAUGGUUUUGCAGAGUGGCAAGGGAAGAUGAGAUUCAUCGGGUGACCGGAGCAGACAUGGUCAUGGACCACGUUUCGUGUAUCCGGAAAGCCGCGUAAAAGCCUCAGAGGUUGUAGUUUAGCUCAGACUAGCAAGCUGUGAAAAAGAAAGAGGAAACUGCAGUAAAUAAACUCAGUGAAGCAUGCAUGUGAGAUACCACACGGUGCGAGCCCAUGCCGCCGGCUGCCGAGCCUGGCAUGCUUUGCUACAGCUGAUUCAAAACCGUGGGAGCCAACAAAGAGAAAAACGCGUUGCACAAUCGAGACAUGUCGCUGAUAAGUUGGCCAACCACUGUGUCUUCCUCAUCUUUACUGCUUGGGAUUACACGCGCGUUCCGGCAAAGCAGAACGAGGCAGUGUGCCCAUCUGCUCAGUCUUCACAAGGCAUGCAGUUUUUGGGAGUUCGGUCCAUCACAUCUAAUUAACGAUAAAGCUAAAAAAUCUGAUGUCAGAUUUUUAGCCAUCUUAGGAGCGUGCUGCUUGUCAUUGGAUUAGCGCACGAAUCUUGAAGUGGGGGACAAUAAACACGUUAGCAUAGAAAAACGUUCGUUGAAAUUGAGCGGCGGCACAAACACAGUCUUCUCUCCCGAUGCUUUUUUGAAUCCCCAUCCCCAUUUUUCCUGACACUGCCCCAUCUCGCUUCUUCCAUCCCUGCUCGCCGGCGCGGCGAGGGCGGCCUCGCCUUCUCCAGGGUCACCGUCCAUUUCUCUAGUCCCCCUGCUCAUCGGUACACUAAAGGUGGCCUCACCUUCGCAGGGGCACGAGCGCGGCAAGCCCGCUCAAGCCGAGGAAACGUACAAAUGACCGCGCAUGCCCCAGUUGAGGAAGUGGACGAUAGCUUGAAGCGGGGGACAACAAACACGUCAGCACGGAGAAACGUUUGCUGAAAUUGAGCGGUGACACAAACGCAAUAUACUUCUCUGAAUCCUCAUCCCCAUUUUCCCGACGCUGCCAAUCUCGCUUCCUCCCUCUUGCUCGCCGGCACGGCGAGGGCGGCCUCGCCUUCUCCAGGAUCGCCGCCCAUUUCUCUAGCCCCCUGCUCACUGGUGCAGUGAGGGCGGCCUCACCUUCGCAAGGGGCGUGAGCGCGGCGAACCCGGUCGAUCUGAGGAAACGUACAAUGACCGCAUGUGCCCCAAUUGGAGGAGGUGGACGGGAGGCCACGAUGCUAGCCCCCGAGAUGCAACGACUCAAGGACCUCGCCAGCACCAAGUCGAUGUGCGGCAAGAUCCCAUCGAGCAUGUUAGGGGCAACGAGGCUGAGGAGGGGAGCUGGAGCGCGAUACCUUGGCCUCCCCUAUCUAUCCACCGCCUUAGGAAGAUCGACCUCCUAUAUCUCGUGGACAAGGUUGCAGGGAAGCGUCCCUUGGCAGGUGUUGGAAAUAUGCCCUAGAGGCAAUAAUAAAUUAGUUAUUAUUAUAUUUCCUUGUUCAUGAUAUUCGUUUAUUAUCCAUGCUAGAAUUGUAUUGAUAGGAAACUCAGAUACAUGUGUGGAUACAUAGACAACACCAUGUCCCUAGUAAGCCUCUAGUUGACUAGCUCGUUGAUCAAUAGAUGGUUACGGUUUCCUGACCAUGGACAUUGGAUGUCAUUGAUAACGGGAUCACAUCAUUAGAAGAAUGAUGUGAUGGACAAGACCCAAUCCUAAGCAUAGCACAAGAUAAUGUAGUUCGCAUGCUAAAGCUUUUCUAAUGUCAAGUAUCAUUUCCUUAGACCAUGAGAUUGUGCAACUCCCGGAUACCGUAGGAAUACUUUGGGUGUGCCAAACGUCACAACGUAACUGUGUGGCUAUAAAGGUGCACUACGGGUAUCUCCGAAAGUGUCUGUUGGGUUGGCACGAAUCGAGACUGGGAUUUGUCACUCCGUGUGACGGAGAGGUAUCUCUGGGCCCACUCGGUAGGACAUCAUCAUAAUGUGCACAAUGUGAUCAAGGAGUUGAUCACGGGAUGAUGUGUUACGAAACGAGUAAAGAGACUUGCGGGUAACGAGAUUGAACAAGGUAUCGGGAUACCGACGAUCGAAUCUCGGGCAAGUACAAUACCGCUAGACAAAGGGAAUUGUAUACGAGAUUGAUCGAAUCGUCGACAUCGUGGUUCAUCCGAUGAGAUCAUCGUGGAACAUGUGGGAACCAACAUGGGUAUCCAGAUCCCGCUGUUAGUUAUUGAUCGGAGGACGUCUCGGUCAUGUCUGCAUGGUUCCCGAACCCGUAGGGUCUACACACUUAAGGUUCGAUGACGCUAGGGUUAUAAAGGAAGUUUGUAUGUGGUUACCGAAUGUUGUUCGGAGUCCCGGAUGAGAUCCCGGACGUCACGAGGAGUUCCGGAAUGGUCCGGAGGUAAAGAUUUAUAUAUGGGAAGUCCUGUUUUGGUCACCGGAAAAGUUUCGGGUUUUAUCGGUAACGUACCGGGACCACCAGGAGGGUCCCGGGGGUCCACCAAGUGGGGCCACCGGCCCCGGAGGGCUGCAUGGGCCAAGUGUUGGAGGGGACCAGCCCCAGGUGGGCUGGUGUGCCCUCCCACAAGGGCCCAAGGCACCUAAGGGGAGGAAGGGGGCAAACCCUAAGGGCAGAUGGGCCUUAGGGCCCAUGCCUGGUGCGCCUCCCUCUCCCCCUCCCCUUGGCCACCCCACCAGAUGGGAUCUGGGCUGGCCGCUGCCCCUAGGGUGGAACCCUAGGUGGGGGCGCAGCCCCCCCUCUCCCCCUAUAUAUAGUGGAUGCAAAGGAGCACCCCAUAGACGAAGUUUCUUCUCUUGUUGGCGCAACCCUACCUCUCUUUCUCCUCAUAUCUCGCGGUGCUUGGCGAAGCCCUGCUGGAUCACCAUGCUCCUCCACCACCACCACGCCGUUGUGCUGCUGCUGGAUGGAGUCUUCCUCAACCUCUCCCUCUCUCCUUGCUGGAUCAAGGCAUGGGAGACGUCACCGGGCUGUACGUGUGUUGAACGCGGAGGUGCCGCCCGUUCGGCACUAGGAUCUCCGGUGAUUUGGAUCACGACGAGUACGACUCAUUCAACCUCGUUCUCUUGAACGCUUCCGCUUAGCGAUCUACAAGGGUAUGUAGAUGCACUCUCCUUCCCCUCGUUGCUGGUUUCUCCAUAGAUAGAUCUUGGUGACACGUAGGAAAAUUUUAAAUUUCUGCUACGUUCCUCAAUAGUGGCAUCAUGAGCUAGGUCUAUGCGUAGUUUCUAUGCACGAGUAGAACACAAAGUAGUUGUGGGCAUUGAUUUUGUUCAAUAUGCUUACCGUUACUAGUCCAAUCUUGAUUCGGCGGCAUUGUGGGAUGAAGCGGCCCGGACCGACCUUACACGUACUCUUACGUGAGACUGGUUCCACCGACUGACAUGCACUAGUUGCAUAAGGUGGCUAGCGGGUGUCUGUCUCUCCCACUUUUGUCGGAUCGGAUUCGAUGAAAAGGGUCCUUAUGAAGGGUAAAUAGCAAUUGGCAUAUCACGUUGUGGUUUUUGCGUAGGUAAGAAACGUUCUUGCUAGAAACCCAUAGCAGCCACGUAAAACAUGCAAACAACAAUUAGAGGGCGUCUAACUUGUUUUUGCAGGGUAUGCUAUGUGAUGUGAUAUGGCCAAAAAGAAUGUGAUGAAUGAUAUGUGAUAUAUGAGAUUGAUCAUGUUCUUGUAAUAGGAAUCACGACUUGCAUGUCGAUGAGUAUGACAACCGGCAGGAGCCAUAGGAGUUGUCUUUAUUUAUUAUAUGACCUGCGUGUCAUUGAACAACGCCAUGUAAUUACUUUACUUUAUUGUUAACCGGUAGCCAUAGUAGUAGAAGUAAUAAGUUGGCGAGACAACUUCAUGAAGACACAAUGAUGGAGAUCAUGGUGUCAUGCCGGUGACGAUGAUGAUCAUGGAGCCCUGAAGAUGGAGAUCAAAAGGAGCAAUAUGAUAUUAUCCAUAUCAUGUCAUUAUUUGAUUGCAUGUGAUGUUUAUCAUGUUUAUACAUCUUAUUUGCUUAGAACGAUGGUAGCUUAAAUAAGAUGAUCCCUCACUAAAAUUUCAAGAGAAGUGUUCUCCCUAACUGUGCACCAUUGCGAAAGUUCGUCGUUUCGAAGCACCACGUGGUGAUGGGGUGUGAUAGAUUCUUACGUUCGAAUACAACGGGUGUUGACGAGCCUAGCAUGUACAGACAUGGCCUCGGAACACAUGCGAAACACUUAGGUUAACUUGACGAGCCUAGCAUGUACAGACAUGGCCUCGGAACACAAGAGACCGAAAGGACAAGCAUGAGUUGUAUGGUAGAUACGAUCAACAUGAAGAUGUUCACCGAUGUUGACUAGUCCGUCUCACGUGAUGAUCGGACACGGCCUAGUUGUCUCGGAUCAUGUAAUCACUUAGAUGACUGGAGGGAUGUCUAUCUGAGUGGGAGUUCAUAAGAUGAACUUAAUUAUCCUGAACAUAGUCAAAAGGUCUUUGCAAAUUAUGUCGUAGCUCGCGCUUCAGUUCUACUGUUUAGAUAUGUUCCUAGAGAAAAAUUAGUUGAAAGUUGAUAGUAGCAUUUAUGCAGACAGUAGAAGGCUUAUGUCCUUAAUGCACCGCUCAGUGUGCUGAACCUCGAACAUCGUCUGUGGAUGUUGCGAACAUCUGACAUACACGUUUUGAUGACUACAUGAUAGUUCAGUGCGUAAUGCUAAAUGGUUUAGAAUUGAGGCACCAAAGACGUUUUUGAAACAUCGCAGAACAUAUGAGAUGUUCCAAGGACUGAAAUUGGGAUUUCAGGCUCGUGCCCACGUCAAGAGGUAUAAGACCUCCGACGAUUUUCUUAGCCUGCAUAAUAAGGGAGAAAAGCUCAAUCUUGAGCUUGUGCUCAGAUUGUCUGAGUACAACAAUCGCUUGAAUCGAGUGGGAGUUGAUCUUCCAGAUGAAAUAGUGAUGGUUCUCCGAAGUCAUUACCACCAAGCUGCUAGAGCAUCGUUAUGAACUAUAAUAUAUCAGGGACAUAUAUGAUGAUCCUUGAGAUAUUCGCGAUGUUUGACACCACAAAAGUAGAAAUUAAGAAGGAGCAUCAAUUUUUGAUGGUUGGUGAAACCACUAGUUUCAAGAAGGGCAAGGGCAAGAAGGGAUACUUCAUGAAACGGCAAAUCAGCUGCUGUUCUAGUGAAGAAACCCAAAGUUGAACCCAAGCCCGAGACUAAGUGCUUCUGUAAUAAGGGGAACAGUCACUGAAGCAGAACCACCCUAGAUACUUGGUAGAUGAGAAGGCUGGCAAGGUCGACAGAAGUAUAUUGGAUAUGCAUUAUAAUGUGUACUUUACUAGUACUCCUAGUAGCACCAGGGUAUUAGAUACUGGUUCGAUUGCUAAGUGUUAGUAACUCGAAACAAAAGGCUACGGAAUAAACGGAGACUAGCUAAAAGGUGAGAUGACGAUAUGUGUUGGAAGUAUUUCUAAGGUUGAUCAAACAUCGCACGCUCCCUCUACCAUCGAGAUUGGUGUUUGCGUUGAGCAUAGACAUGAUUGGAUCAUGUCUAUCGCAAUACGAUUAUUCAUUUAAGGAGAAUAAUGGUUACUCUGUUUAUUUGAAUAAUACCUUCAAUGGUCUUGCACCUAAAAUGAAUGUUUUUUUUGAAUCUCGAUCGUAGUGAUACACAUGUUCAUGCCAAAAGAUAUAAGAUAGUAAUGAUAGUACCACCUACUUGUGGCACUGCCAUGUAAGUCAUAUCGGUAUAAAACGCAUGAAGAAGCUCCAUGUUGAUGGAUCUUUGGGCUCACUCGUUUUUGAAAUUUUUUGAGACAUGCGAACCAUGUCUAUUGGUGUAUAUGCAUGAAGAAACUCCAUGCAAAUGGAUCGUUUGGACUCACUUGAUUUUGAAUCACUUGAGACAUGCAAAUCAUACCACAUGGGCAAGAUGACUAAAAGCCUCGUUUUCAGUAAAAUGGAACUAGAAAGCAACUUGUUGGAAGUAAUACAUUUUGAUGUGUGCAGUCCAAUGAGUCCCGAGGCGUGUAGUGGAUAUCGUUAUGUUCUUACUUCACAGAUGAUUUGAGUAGAUGUUGAGUACAUUUACUUGAUGAAUCACGAGUCUGAAUUAUUGAAAGGUUCAAGUAAUUUCAGGGAGAAGUUGAAAGAUCGUCGUGACAAGAGGAUAAAAUAUCUAUGAUAUGAUCAUAGAGAUGAAUAUCUGAAUUACGAGUUUGGCACAGAAUUAAGACAUUGUGGAAAUUGUUUCACAACUAAUACAGCCUGGAACACCAUAGUGUGAUGGUGUGUCCGAACAUCAUAACUGCACCCUAUUGGAUAUGAUGCAUACCAUGAUGUCUUUUAUCGAAUUACCACGAUAGUUUAUGGGUUAGGCAUUAGAGACAACCACAUUCACUUUAAAUAGGGCACCACGUAAUUCCGAUGAGAUGACACCAUAUGAACUAUUGUUUAGAGAAACCUAAGCUGUCAUUUCUUAAAAGUUUGGGGCUGCGACGCUUAUGUGAAGAAGUUUCAGGCUGAUAAGCUCGAACCCAAAGCGGAUAAAUGCAUCUUCAUAGGACACCCAAAACAGUUGGGUAUACCUCCUGUCUCAGAUUCGAAAACAAUAAGGGAUUGUUUCUAGAAUCGGGUCCUUUCUCGAGGAAAAGUUUCUCUCGAAAGAAUUGAGUGGGAGGAUGUUGGAGACUUGAUGAGGUUAUUGAACCGUCUCUUCAACUAGUGUGUGGCAGGGCAUAGGGAGUUGUUCCUGUGCCACCUACACCAAUUGAAGUGAAAGCUUAUUAUAGUGAUCAUGAAACUUCAGAUGAAGUCACUACCAAACCUCAUAGGACGACAAGGAUGCGUACUACUUCAGAGUGGUACGUAAUCCUGUCUUGGAAGUCAUGUUGCUAGACAACAAUGAACCUACGAGCUAUGGAGAAGCGAUGGUGGGCCCGGAUUCUGAUAAAUGGCUCGAGGCCAUAAAAUCCGAGAGAGGAUCCAUGUACGAAAACAAAGUGUAGACUUUGGCAGAACGACUCGAUGGUCGUAAGGCUGUUGAGUACAGAUGGAUUUUAAAAGGAAGACGGACAAUGAUGGUAAAUGUCACCAUUAAGAAAGCUCGACUUGUCGUUAAGAUGUUUCUCGACAAGUUCAAGGAGUUGACUACAAUGAGACUUUCUCACUCGUAGUGAUGCUAAGAGUCUGUUGGAAUUAUAUUAGCGAUUACUGCAUUAUUUAUGAAAUCUUGCAGAUAGGAUGUCAAAACAUUGUUUCCUCGACGAUUUUCUUGAUGAAAGGCUGUAUGUGAUACAACCGGAAGGUUUUGUCAAUCCUAAAAGAUGCUAAUAAGUAUGCAAAGCUCCAGCAAUCCUUCUAAGGACUGGAGUAAGCAUCUCGGAGUUGGAAUGUAUGCUUUGAUGAGAUGAUCAAAGAUUUUGGGUGUAUACAAAGUUUAUGAGAAACUUGUAUUUCCAAAGAAGUGAGUGGGAGCACUAUAGAAUUUCUGAUGAAUAUAUGUUGUUGACAUAUUGUUGAUCAGAAAUGACGUAGAAUUUCUGAAAAGCAUAUAGGGUUAUUUGGAAAGUGUUUUUCAAUGGAAAGCCUGGAUUAAGCUACUUGAACAUUGAGCAUCAAAGAUCUAUAAGGAUAGAUCAAAACGCUUAAUGGUACUUUCAAAUGAGCACAUACCUUGACAUGAUCUUGAAGGUGUUCAAGAUGGAUCAGUCAAAGAAGGAGUUCUUGCCUGAGUUGUAAGGUAUGAAGUUAAGACUUAAAGCUCGACCACGGCAGAAGAAAGAGGAAGGACGAAGGUCGUCCCCUAUGCUUUUGUCAUAGGCUCCAUACAAUAUGCUAUGCUGUGUACCGCACCUGAAGUGUGCCUUGCCAUGAGUCAGUCAAGGGGUACAAGAGUGAUCCAAGAAUGGAUCACAGGACAGCGGUCAAAGUUAUCCUUAGUAACUAGUGGACUAAGGAAUUUUCUCGAUUAUGGAGGUGGUGAAAGAGUUCGUCGUAAAGGGUUACACCGAUGCAAACUUUGACACUAAUCCAGAUUAUUCUGAGUAGUAAACUGGAUUCAUAUAGUAGAACAUUUAUUUGGAAUAGCUCCAAAUAGAACGUGGUAGCUGCAUCUGGGAGAUGACAUAGAGAUUUGUAAAGCACACACGGAUCUGAAAGAUUCAGACCCGUUGACUAUAACAUCUCUCACAAGCAUAACAUGAUCCAACCCAGAACUCAUCGAGUGUUAAUCAUAUGGUAAUGUGAACUAGAUUAUUGACUCUAGUAAACUCUUUGGGUGUUAGUCACAUGGGGAUGAAACCUUGAGUGUUAAUCACAUAGCGAUGUGAACUGGAUUAUUGACUCUAGUGCAAGUGGGAGACUGUUGGAAAUAUGCCCUAGAGGCAAUAAUAAAUUAGUUAUUAUUAUAUUUCCUUGUUCAUGAUAAUCGUUUAUUAUCCAUGCUAGAAUUGUAUUGAUAGGAAACUCAGAUACAUGUGUGGAUACAUAGACAACACCAUGUCCCUAGUAAGCCUCUAGUUGACUAGCUCGUUGAUCAAUAGAUGGUUACGGUUUCCUGACCAUGGACAUUGGAUGUCAUUGAUAACGGGAUCACAUCAUUAGAAGAAUGAUGUGAUGGACAAGACCCAAUCCUAAGCAUAGCACAAGAUCGUGUAGUUCGCAUGCUAAAGCUUUUCUAAUGUCAAGUAUCAUUUCCUUAGACCAUGAGAUUGUGCAACUCCCGGAUACCGUAGGAAUACUUUGGGUGUGCCAAACGUCACAACGUAACUGGGUGGCUAUAAAGGUGCACUACGGGUAUCUCCGAAAGUGUCUGUUGGGUUGGCACGAAUCGAGACUGGGAUUUGUCACUCCGUGUGACGGAGAGGUAUCUCUGGGCCCACUCGGUAGGACAUAAUCAUAAUGUGCACAAUGUGAUCAAGUAGUUGAUCACGGGAUGAUGUGUUACGGAACGAGUAAAGAGACUUGCCGGUAACGAGAUUGAACAAGGUAUCGGGAUACCGACGAUCGAAUCUCGGGCAAGUACAAUACCGCUAGACAAAUGGAAUUAUAUACGGGAUUGAUCGAAUCGUCGACAUCGUGGUUCAUCCGAUGAGAUCAUCGUGGAACAUGUGGGAACCAACAUGGGUAUCCAGAUCCCGCUGUUGGUUAUUGAUCAAAGGACGUCUCGGUCAUGUCUGCAUGGUUCCCGAACCCAUAGUGUCUACACACUUAAGGUUCGAUGACGCUAGGGUUAUAAAGAAAGUUUGUAUGUGGUUACCGAAUGUUGUUCGGAGUCCCGGAUGAGAUCCCGGACAUCACGAGGAGUUCCGGAAUGGUCCGGAGGUAAAGAUUUAUAUAUGGGAAGUCCUGUUUUGGUCACCGGAAAAGUUUCGGGUUUUAUCGGUAACGUACCGGGACCACCAGGAGGGUCCCGGGGGUCCACCAAGUGGGGCCACCGGCCCCGGAGGGCUGCAUGGGCCAAGUGUGGGAGGGGACCAGCCCCAGGUGGGCUGGUGCGCCCCCCCACAAGGGCCCACGUCGCCUAAGGGGAGGAAGGGGGCAAACCCUAAGGGCAGAUGGGCCUUAGGGCCCAUGCCUGGUGCGCCUCCCUCUCCCCCUCCCCUUGGCCGCCCCACCAGAUGGGAUCUGGGCUGGCCUCCGCCCCUAGGGUGGAACCCUAGGUGGGGGCGCAGCCCCCCCUCUCCCCCUAUAUAUAGUGGAGGCAAAGGAGCAGCCCAUAGACGAAGUUUCUUCUCUUGUUGGCGCAGCCCUACCUCUCUUUCUCCUCAUAUCUCGUGGUGCUUGGCGAAGCCCUGCUGGAUCACCAUGCUCCUCCACCACCACCACGCCGUUGUGUUGCUGCUGGAUGGAGUCUUCCUCAACCUCUCCCUCUCUCCUUGCUGGAUCAAGGCAUGGGAGACGUCACCGGGCUGUACGUGUGUUGAACGCGGAGGUGCCGUCCGUUCGGCACUAGGAUCUCCGGUGAUUUGGAUCAUGACGAGUACGACUCCUUCAACCCCGUUCUCUUGAACGCUUCCGCUUAGCAAUCUACAAGGGUAUGUAGAUGCACUCUCCUUCCCCUCGUUGCUGGUUUCUCCAUAGAUAGAUCUUGGUAACACGUAGGAAAAUUUUGAAUUUCUGCUAUGUUCCCCAACAGCAGGGGCGUUUCAUGCAGGUCAACCCUUGCCAAGGCUGUGCUCACCUCUUUGGCAACCUACCAUAUCACCACCUUAGUCCCUCAUGUGAGCACGAUUUGUGCUUUCGAGAAGAUCUUGUUGGCCUUCCUUUGGGCUAGCUCUGACAAGAUUUCUGGUGGCCAAUGCAAAGUGAGCUGGAGCUUGGUAUGUAGACCAAAGAGGUUUUGUGGGUCGGGAGUGCUCGACCUCGGCAAAUAUGCUUGAGCUCUGCACUUGAGAUGGGCUUGGUAUGAGUGGAAGGAGCCUCAUAUAGCUUGGGUCAGUCUGGGAAAACCUUGCGACAUCAUUUACAUGGAUCUCUUUUACGCGGCUACCACCAUAACCAUUGGGAACAACUCCAUGGCCAAGUUCUUGCACUUGUUGUGGCUUAAUGCAUGGGUGGAAACCUAAGGAUGUUGUUCCCUCCAUAUUCCUCAUCUCAAAGAGAAGAAUUCAACGGUGCAUGCCCUAUGAGACCUCGCUUGGAUUGAUAGGAUCGACAUAUCAAGUGGUCUCUACAUCAACCAUUUUGAGCAGUUCUACACUUUAUGGCCAAAGCUUGGGGUGAGGGCUUUUGGAGGCCGAGCUUUACGGAGCUCGUUUUCAAAAUACAAAUUUCCACAAGGUGAAAAAAUUUGAAAUUGUUUGUAUACACUUUCACACAUGUGUAUUGCGUCUGUGCAAAAAUUCAAAACCAAAUACUUUCACACGUGGCGUACAGAAAAAAGACAAAUACAUAUUUCUAGAAUGGGCCAAUAUUUUUUGUUGUUGGGCCGGAUUUUUGUUUUUUUGUACAGCCUACAAAUCACAACAAAUUCAAAAAAAAUUCUUACACGUUCGUGCGGAAAUCUAUUAAGUUACCGUGGACUUUUGUUUUGAAUUUUUCUGAAACUUUAAAAUAUAAAUUUUGAUUUUUUUUCAAAAUACUGAGCUCCCUGGAGCUCAGCCUCCGUUGGCAUUUUCCGAAAAGCUUGAGCUUAUACAACUCCAGGAGGAUGUUCUCGAAGCUAUUACUUGGAACCUCACCACCAACAGGGUGUAUUCGGCGGCCGCCACAUAUAAGGUGCAAUUCGAGGGGCCAUCUCCACCAUCAUAGUGUCGGCGGGUUGGGGCACUUGGGCACCACCCAAGUGCAAAUCCUUUGCGUGGCUUGUCAUCAAGAACCGAGUUUAAAUAACGUACCGCCUUCAGAACUGGGGCUGGCCCAACUAUGGCCUCAGCCAGCUUUGCAAAAGAGAGUCAGAGUCCGCAACACACAUUCUCCAUAUACUCCCUCCGACUUUGGUCGGCCAUGAAGUGUUGGCUUGAUGCUCCGAAGUUGGAUAUUGCAAGCUAGAAAGGCAUCCGCACGGUCAAAGCUUGGUGGGCAGCGACGGUUUUUCGACAUGGCCACAUGAGAAAGGCCAUCUCAUUGCUUCUCAUGCUUGUCAAUUGGGAGGUGUGGAAGGAAAGAAAUGUGAGAGUUUUUCGCAACAAAUCGAUGAUGCCCACUACCCUCAUCGAUGACAUCAAAGUGGAAGCUAGGUGUUGGGUCAUCAUGUGGGCGACACAUUUGAGUUCUUUGAUGCCGUGAGGGUAGGCGUUUUCUCUUUACCAUUUGUGGAGGUAUAAUGUACCUGGUUGAACUUUGUUGAUUUGCCCUCCCUUCUUUAUUAAUGAGCUUAGGCAAAGCUUUUGCCCCUGUUUACAAAAAUAUAUUUUUGCCAUGGCAAAUCCUAAGUUUGCCAUCUUCUCUCCACAAGAAUAAAAUGCAUAAUUUGGCAAUUUCAUGAUUAAAAAUUCAAAAAAUAAUCAAUGUGUUUUUGUUAGAUAGCAAACAUGUAAAUUUGCUGUUUUUUUCAACCAUGGCAAACUAUGUGCAUAUCCUUGUUGCCAUGUUAUUCUAGAGAACAUGGCAAUUAUCAUAUGUUAUUAUUACUUGUGCAUCGCAAAAUAAAGAGAAAACGUUCUCACACAAAACAUGCACUUUUUUUUUGAAAACGACAUGGCAUUUUUUUGGGAUUUGAAGUUCUCCGUUCCAUAAAUAUGUAAAUGAAUUUGGUACGAGACGACUCCGUGACUAGCAAAAUUCAGGGGGAGAAAUCUCCUACUACCUCCGUUUCAGUUUACAAGUCCUACGCGUAUGCCUAGGUAGCCAAUUUUAUCACCCUAAUAUAAACUAUAUAACACAAAAAUUAUAUCUUUUGAAAGUAGAAACUCCAAAGUUUAUUUUGAUAUAUUUUUUAUAAUAUAUGACUUGUAUUAGGUUGGUCAAAUUGACAACUUAGGGGUACGGGCACGCCCUGUAAACUGAGAGAGAGGUAGUAGGUUAUAACCGCUUAAGAUCGUCAUAUCUUUAACACUGCAUUUUUUUGGGUGAGUUUCCUAUAGUAAGAUAGGUUGCAAGAACAAGUAAGGAUUAGGUGGCGUAUUAGGAUUUAUUUAAUUUUAUAAUUAGAGGAUAAUCCUUCUUGUAUAAUCAUGUACUGUAAUUCUUUUAGACUUUUCGAUCUACUCAUUCAUAACUGCAGUUCUUCAGAGACCAAUGGAAAAUUGCACUCGAUUCAGCCCUUGACCGACGUCAAACUAAAUUAGCACUUCCAUUCUGCCUGCGCAUGCAUCCUGCUCGGCUUCGUCAUCGCCGGCCUACAAGACACCACCUGCUCCCUCUGUCGCUAAAGCGUCGCGCCUCGUGAUCUACUGCUCGACGUGGACCUUCAGGUGUGUCGCCGCACCACGCCGUCACGGCGAUGCUCGAUCGAGCUUGCGUUCCACGUCUCCGCCCCGUCCCCUGCUACGAUGCCAAGCCUAGCGGCUUUCUCCUCCAGGCCCCCAAGACGAACCAAGAUGCAAAUAAAGCAUGGUCUGAUCAUAUGUUUACUUUGGCGACAUGCAUGGUUAUCGGAUGUGCGCGCGCGUAACAGCUAAUUUAACCUUGUAGACCGCUACGGUGCAAUCGAGCCGAUCGAUCGACGCGUGCUCCGUCUGCUGGCUGUUCCUGACGUGCAAAAGGCCACGGCAUUUGCAGGAGGAGACGCGGUGCCCAGACGUACGUGCCAAAGCCUAGUAGCAUGGGCCUGCGUCAACGCGGCGCGUCUUGGACGGAAGCCCGAUAUGUGCAAGGCAGCGCAAUACGUGCUCAGCUGGCCCCAGUGUUGUGUACGGAAGCCAAUCGAUGCAUCACGCAUGCAUUUCCAUGACCUUGACAUCUCUCUCGUGAGCUUUUGUGCCUUUAAUUUAUUUUUCUUCUUCGGGGUAAAGCAACUCUAUUAGUACUUGAACAACAAGCAGGCAUUACAAUCCCGGAGUGAUAUACUGUCAACAAUUGUAGCACGGCGAAGUAUGUGAUUCAAAGAAAGUACCAAUGAAAAUCUACAAACGAUACGGAUCGAAGGUGGGAUCCUUUUCUCUCGAGGCAAGUUCGCAGGCUUUGACCAAAAAAUAAAUUUCAAUUAACUUGGAGUGGAGAUAGUGCGUAAAGCGCAAAUUAAAUCAUAAGCGGGCAAGUAUUCCUAGCCAAGCUAGCUCUCCGUACCUGCAUCUACAUGCAACCAACUACAUACUAGUAGCAGCUCCUGCAUGCUAUUCGUCGCCAAAUUAAGAAGAUCGAGGGAGAAACACACAAACCAGAGGGAGAUAUUUCUUUACAAAACAUAUAGUAGUAGAGUACGUGCAGUCAACACAUGGCUAGAAAAACCCUAGAUCGAGUAGUAGUAGUAGAGUUUCAUCAACAUAGAUACCAUGCAUUGUCUGGUGCUAAUGCAUAUGCUCGUAUCAAUACCAUGCUUGCCGGUGAUUAACUUCAACUACUACGUACUACUCCCUCCGUUCUGAAUUACUUGUCUUGGAUUUAUCUAGAUACGGAGGUAUCUAGCACUAAAAUGAGUCUAGAUACAUCCGUAUCUAGACAAAUCCAAGACAAGUAAUUCGGAACGGAGGGAGUACAUGCUUAGCUUGCACACCACGAGGGGAUCGGAAGCUCUGGACCGGAUCUUGAGCUCAGGCCGCCGCACCGCCUGCCCCUGCGCCUUCCGCUCCUUGGUUCCCGGCGCCGGCUCCGCCCUGCGGGGGGUUCCAGCAAGCCCGUAUCCCACGGAUCAUGAUGCGGCCGGUGAGGUUGAGGAUCCCCCCAAUGACCGCGAGAGCAGGGAUGGCCAGCACGCCGCAACCAAAACCCGCCAAAAAUCCCUCGCCGUACGGCGUCAUGGCUCAGUUCGUGGCUGGAAUUGAGCGGAGAGUGUGAUCGAUGGAUGCGGAGGUGAAGUGGAGGCCGCCCGGGGUGGAAGAAAGGAGGAUUAUAAAGACGAUUAAGAGCGGGGAAUCUCUCUUUCUCACUCACGCAAUGACGCUGGAAUUUUCCGCCUGUCCCAAAUGAGGAAAACGCGGCCAGCUUGCGUGUGCAGGCUGGGCUGGCUACUUUGGCACCGAUAAGGUAACCUGCAUACAUGUGAUAUGGGUCGAUGGCCUGCUCUGCUCGAUCGAGAUAGGCUGGGGCGUCAUUUCCUGCGGACGCACACAUGUAAAAUUAGUGGCAUGCUGAUGCACCGGCGCCCGCUGCAAGUGCAAAGGAAACCUGUACACGCUGCAUGCACGGGCAACAUCGUACCGAUCGAUCAUAUACAGGAGUAUCUCUGUGCGACAUUAGGCCAACUCCACCGCGCGACCCUAUCCUAUCCGGCCCCGUCCAUUUAGGGUAAAAGGGACAAAAAAAGCGGCCCAGCGCGCGGGAGCAAACGGACUUUUGUCCGCUUUGUGUCCGCUUUCGACCCAUUCCCGGCCCAAACUUGCGCCGAAACGGACACCAUGCGGACACGCGGGUCGUCUGCGCGUGUCCUCCCCUGGCCCGCCCGUCGGUGACACAAGACGGGCCUUUUUCUAUCCGCCCCCCUCCCUCCCUUCGGCCGCAUCCCCUCCACUCUUCCCCACUCUUCCCGUCGCUGCCGCCGCCGCCGCCGCUGCCAUUGUAGCCGUGCAGUUCGGACGCGAGCUCGCCCAACCCCUUCCCCUCGGCGUCGGGCUCGGACGCGACCACGGCCACCUGGUUUGCGCACCCGCCGGCCGGCUUUGGGGCGGAUCCGGUCGGUCUUGAGCUCGGCCGGCUGUGGGAGGCCGGGCCGCGGCAUGGACUGGCCGGGCACCUCGCCGCAAGGCCACAUGCAGGCAGUGGCUCCUCCUUUAGCCGCUCGGAUCUGCACCGUCGGUGGUCCGCCGGCAGAUACACGAAUGGUGGUCGGCCGGGCUCGGUGCUUGCCCAAAAGCUCGCCGGCGCACCGUUGCCACUCAUUAAGUGCGACCACUGCCCAAGGAUGGUCGUGCGCCGCGUGUCUACAACGCCGGAACAUUCUGGAUGGGUGUUCAUCAAGUGCUUAAACGAUGGGGUAUGCGUUUUUUUAGCUUCGGUUUGUGCUCUAGAUUUAACUAGUUGUGCUAACUUCAAAUUUUGUUGUGUAGAACGGAUGCAAGUUUUGGUAUUGGGAAGAAGAGUACAUCGAUAUAUUGAUAGAACGGAAUUUAGUACAUGUUCGUGCACUUUUAGCUAGCAUAGAGGCUGUAAAUGAGACAAGUGCACUUGUUGCUAGAUUAGAGGCUAGACACGAGACUAGGUGUGAGGAGGAAGCAACAUCGACUUCUGGCUUGAAGAAGAAAGGAGGAUGCCAGAUCGAGCCUCCUCCUCCACAGAUCAACAACGAGUGCAUCGAGAAGGCCCUAACCCAACUCAAGGGAGCAGUUAUGGAAGUUGGGUAUCUUCUAAAAUGUAUUUUUGUGAUUCUUAUUUUCUUUGGUCUUGCUUUGCUAGUCAAAAUGUGAUGAUGUAUUUUUCAUGUACCAAAAAUGAAUGAUGAAAUAAAGUUAAGGACUUGCAAAAAAAUAAUACGCGGACAGGAUGUGCCCGGGAUGCGUCCGCGCGCUGGGCGCACGGCCACCGCAUCCCCGGACAGGCCCGGACACGACCCCAAAUCCCUAUCUAAAGGGACAAAAACCGGAUAAAACGGACGUCCGUUUGGGAUCGCGCGAUGGAGUUGGCCUUAGACGGGGCGCCCGUGCACUGCCAAAGCUAGCUAGCUCUUUUCUGGCCGAUUAACAGAAGGAUUUUGUUUACAAAUUGACAGAAAUCAAGCGUACGUAACGUACGACUCCAUGAAUAAAAAGACCACGUACUUAUUUUUGCGGGGUAAAAAGAAGACCACGUACUCCGAUAUGUGCAAGACAGCGCAAUACGUGCUCAGGUGGCGCCUGUGCCAUAUACGGAACGGAAGCCGAUGCAUGCAUUUCCAUGAAAGUUCUACACGCCCCACGGUGGCAUCUCUUUCGUGAGCUUUUGUGCUACAGAGCGGGCUAUGCUAAUGCAUCCGUGCCUCUGGUUUUCUUCUUCGGGGUAAAGCAACACUCUAUAUAUUACGUACUUAAACAACAAGCAAGCAUCACAAUCCCGGAGGAUGAGGUAAGAACUGCACCACGGCCAAGUGUACGAUACAAGACCGAAGCAUCAACGAAAAUGUGCAAACUUAUCUUCUACAGCAAAACACACGGCAUGGAUCGAAGAUGGGAUCCCUAACUAGCCGCUUAAACGCCAAUCAGCACACAACCCUUUAAAUUACUCUCAAGGCAAGUUUGCAGGUUUUAAUUAACCAGGAAAACAAACUUCAAUUAACUUGAAGAGAAGAUAGUGCGUAGAGUGAUUUUUUUCCCUUUGCGCAUAAGUAUUCCUAGCUAAUUAUGCUUGCUCUCCAUCAUUAUCCGAGAAAAAACUAGCUCUCCAUCCUUGCAUCUACAUGCAAUCAACCACAUAGUACAACAGAAACUAACAGAAAGUAACAAUGCUGCAGCAGCAGCACGCAACUGUCAAACAGCUCCUGCAUGCUAUUUGUCGCCAAAUUAAGAAGAUCGAGGGAGAAACAAACACACAUAAUAUCACAAACAUAAUAUAUGUGUGUAUGUGCCGUCAACACAUAGCUAGAGAAACACUAGAUCGAGUGGUAGUAGAGUAGAGUUUCAUUCAUAUAGAGACCAUGCAGUGUCUGCUGCUAAUGCGCACAUACGGUACCAAUACCAUGCUUGCCGCUAAUUAACCUCAUUACAGCUACAUACUUAGCUUGCACGCAUCCAGGGUAAGCUCUGGACCCGAUCUUGGCCUCAGAGCGCUGCCCCUGCGCCUUCCGUUCCUUGGUUGCCGCCGGCCUACGCCCGCGCCUUCCGCUCCUUGGUUGCCGCCUCCGGCUCCGCCCUGCGGGGGUUCCGACAAGCCCGAAUCCCACGCAUCAUGAUGUGGCCGGUGACUUUGAGGAUCCCCCCAAUGACCACGAGAACAGGGACGGCCAGCAUACCGCAACCAAAGCCCUCAAGGAACAGCUUGACACACGGUGUCAGGGCUCGGUUAGUGGCUGGAAUUGAGCGGAGUGUGAUCGAUGGAUGUGGAGGUGUAGCUGAGCAAGACCAGGCCGGCCGGGGUGGAGGUAAGGAUGGUUAUAAAGACGAUUACACACUCACGCGGGGAAUCUCUCUCUCUCUCACGCACACGCAGGGAAUCUCUCUCUCACGCAACAAAAAUGCUAGACGUACGGGAAACUUUUACAAGAAUUAACGAACUAACCUUCUUCCCUCAUUAAUCUCUCCCCCUCUGAUUUUUAGGGUAGGACCCGCUUCAUCUUAACAACCAAACACACCCCACAAGUCCUCAGUAGCUAAUACAAUAGGAUCGAUUGAUGCUCAGCUUAUACAGUAGCUAAUUAAUCUUUGGCAGCGACACCAUAACUCCUCAGCAACAUGCGUGUAGCUAGACACAGCAAAACUCUCAUCAACUCGAAUCCAUCUUUCUAGAAUCUCUCACCACACAAACAUACGCCAUAGAACGGACGAAACAUAAAUAAACCACACAUGCAACACUAGUGAAAAAACGACUUUUAGUACCGGUUCGUAAGGACUUUUAGUACCGGGACCAAAGGCCCACCACGUGGCACGAGGCCCGCCGUGGUCUUGGGGACCUUUAGUCCCGGUUGGUGGAUUUUUUUUUGAAAUAAAGCAAAAACAGCCCGCCUACUGGGCCGGCACGGCCUGCAUACGACUAGAAACCCAAUUCCUAGUUGGGCCAGGAUGCAGGCCCGUACGGACCAGUAGGCCCCACAGGGCAGAAGACUUGCAAUAGGUCCACAAAGCGCUUAGAGAGGAGCUCGACACGGUAGCCACGGCGGGGCUUAUAAACCGGUGCGAGCUGCUCUCAACUAGCGAGGUGGGACUAAACAUUGUGCACUGCGGGUGGCAGCGCACCACCUUUAGUACCGGUUGGUGGCUCCAACCACCAACCCGUACUAAAGGCCAUCAUCUUUAGUACCGGUGGGAGACCACCAACCCGUACUAAAAGGGGGGGGGGGGUCUUUAGUACCGGUUGAAGCCACCAACCCGUACUAAAGGCCACCACCUCUUUAGUACCGGUUCGUGCCGAACCGGUACUAAUGAGCGCCGCCCGCCUAGCCGUUAGAACCAGCACUAUUGGUCACAUUAGUGCCGGCUCAAAUACAAACCGGGACUAAUGAGCUAAACAUUUGACCCUUUUUCUACUAGUGCAACUAGCUAGCUUGCAAAGAUGACCACGACCGAGGGCCGACUCGUCUCGACGACCCCUUCGCAUCCAGCAGGUAACCGCCCAAACCACCGUGUAAAGCUCGGGAAAAGCCUCCAUCAACAUCAUAUGGCAGCACUCGCGCCCAAAGGCUGCUGAAGAUGAGUAGGUUUUACAGAGUGGAAAGGUGAGAUUCAUCGGGUGGCUGCUUGACUGGAGUACACUAAGAGCAUCUCCAACACACGCGUACCGCGUGGCGCGCUAAAAAACAGAAUGCAACAUCGGGUGAGCCAGCUUUUGCGCGCGGCGGUGCGCUGGCUCCAGCGGCCGCCUCAAAAUAAGCGCGCCUAAGCCGCUCUAGUAGGCGCGCUAUAUUUCUUUCUUUUUGUACUACGAUUCGGUACACAUUUGGCUUUGAUAGUACAAAUGUGAUAGAUAGUUCGUCACAUAGCCUCCUCCUACGAUACAAAAUAGUGCAUAGAUAGUUCAUAACCUUCUCCUACGAUAGAUAGAUAAAACAAAAAACUACUACUACUCGUCAUCCUUCGACUCGGACUCUGCCUCGGUGAUGUCCUUCUCUGACGUCUGAACGUAGGCGUCAAGGAACCGCUCGUCGUUGGAGUCCCAGGACGACGCGUCUCCUAGCGUGAUGUUGAAUUUAGCGACCGCCUUCCGCGUUCGCAUGUCCUCGCGAUAAGCGGCUCGCUCCUCCCUCCUCUCCUCUCUCUCCGCCCUCCUCUUGCCUCGGCCAACGUCAACCCUAGUCGGGAGCCCUACCCUUGCCCCUGUCAGCAACAACGGAGGUGUCCCUGAGCAAUCACGCCUACUCGAUCUUGCUGAGCUCCCCAUUGAGAUAGUGCAAUCGUCGUGCACACGUCUCGGCGGUGCUCACAGACUAGUCGUGGGCCGAGGCCUCCGCAAGGGCGAGUUCCAUGAGGACCCAGACAUGCGCGGUGUCGUACUUUGUGAAUGCUGCUAGCGUGUCGCCUUCUCCUAAACCCAAACGAUGCUCCUUGACAAGGUGCCGCGGCCAACGAGGUAGUGGAGGAGGCGGCCGCACACCUUCAUGGUCGGCGGGGGAAACUCCUUCGUCACUGGCUUGCCGAGACAGCGACGAGGCGGUAANNNNNNNNNNNNNNNNNNNNNNNNNNNNNNNNNNNNNNNNNNNNNNNNNNNNNNNNNNNNNNNNNNNNNNNNNNNNNNNNNNNNNNNNNNNNNNNNNNNNNNNNNNNNNNNNNNNNNNNNNNNNNNNNNNNNNNNNNNNNNNNNNNNNNNNNNNNNNNNNNNNNNNNNNNNNNNNNNNNNNNNNNNNNNNNNNNNNNNNNNNNNNNNNNNNNNNNNNNNNNNNNNNNNNNNNNNNNNNNNNNNNNNNNNNNNNNNNNNNNNNNNNNNNNNNNNNNNNNNNNNNNNNNNNNNNNNNNNNNNNNNNNNNNNNNNNNNNNNNNNNNNNNNNNNNNNNNNNNNNNNNNNNNNNNNNNNNNNNNNNNNNNNNNNNNNNNNNNNNNNNNNNNNNNNNNNNNNNNNNNNNNNNNNNNNNNNNNNNNNNNNNNNNNNNNNNNNNNNNNNNNNNNNNNNNNNNNNNNNNNNNNNNNGAUCGCCGCCUCCUGCUCCUCCUCGCCGGACCUAGAGAGUGACAACGGCGGCACCAAGAUCCGGGUCCGGAAGGAGAUAUGAAUCCGCCACUUGCAGGUGCAGAGAACCACGACUUUGGCAUCUUCAGGUGGGCGAAGAUGAGAGGAUGUACGAUGAUCGGAGAGGAGAGGAUGUGCGGUGAGCAAAGAGGAGAGUAUGUGGCGUGUGGUGUGGAUGGUGCCGGAGCCGUGUUUAAAUAGGCACGACCAAGCAAUCAGACGGGCAGCCAUCCUCAAUGCAGCGUUAGAAUUGGCUUCUUCGUCAGCAUUGAAAUGGCCUGACCGUCAUCAGUGCAGUGUGGAUCACGUCCUUCUGGAGCGGCCUAACCGGAAUGGAUGCACGGCGACCUUUCAUGGGGAGAGGGUUUUGGGGUGAGCGUGGAGGUCAGGCGCAUACGUGACAACAGUCGGACGCUCAUAUAGGCCCUCCGGUUUGCGUCUGGUUUGCGGGAUUUCAGGGACAUGGCUGCCGCUCCGGCCAGUAGAUUAGCAGAUAGGAGCUUAUCUCAAGCAGUUUGGGCAACGCAAAAAAAAGAGGGAAAAGGGAACCAUGAGAAAUAUCUUAUUACAUUGAUUUUAUUUUGUUGAUUUCACGGAUAAUUGAUUUCAUUUGUUUCGAACAAACAAUAUAUUGAUGUUUUGUCUUAUCCAGGAGAUAUGAUUGGUUUUAUGUCCAAUGACUGUGUUGAGAACUGAGACACACGAUAUGUGAGCCAUGGAGUUUGCACCUUAUUCUACAAUGGCUUCCAGUUGAUAUUAGCUAAUUAUCUUGAUGUAUUUUUCUCUUGCCAAUGGUACAUCUACUCCUAUUGAUUUUAUAUAUCCAGGUUAAUCAUAUUUUCACAUCCAUAAAAAUAUAUUUGCACGACCAUCGUUACAAAAAAAGUGCCAACAAAAAUUAUUGUUAGAUUUGGCAUAACAUUUAUUAUGAUUCUGUUUGCUUAAAAACCAAAUAAUGUUAAUUGAGCUAAUAAUUUAGACAUCCAUGAUUAUGGAAGCAAGUAGUGAGAGGAGGAAGUCAACAAUUACUCUUUGCAAAUUGUGGUAAGUUUCCAAUUGAACUACUUAUUUGACUGUUCAUUUUAUAGGUUUGGCAUGCAUGUAGGAUCAUGAAGGGUUCAUGUUUAUUUGUUGUUUUAUAGUUUUUGAACUAAUGGGUACGCGUGCAUGUGGUUAAUGAUUUUAUUAGAAGCUAAAACAAGGCAUCCAGUUGACCAAUGUUUUAGGAUGCCGAUGAACUUUUGACAUAUGAACUAGGUAGUCUACAAAAUGUUAACCUCUUGUUCUAACGUGUUAAUUUUAUCUAGGCCGAAUCACUUGUCCUGAAUAUACCGCAAAAAUUGCUGUGACUAACAAAAGUGAUUGUGGUUGAUUCUGGGACCUUAUUCAUCUAGGUUAGCAAAACUUUUUUAAAUAAAUUUAGUGAGCUAUGGACAUGGAAGAAUUUUUGUUUUGCAACGCACGGAGAACUUUUCUAGUUUAACCAAGGGGUAAUUUGGGAAUUGUAGUCAAUAUCCGAUGCAACUAUCUAGAACUCCAGAUCCACGGCCAUGUUCUUCCACCACCGUGGGCGUGGCCGGAACUGCAGCCACAGGGAGGAGACGUGGGUCGUAGGUAUAGUGAUUUAGUACUCCUCCGUUACAGAUACUAGUAGAAUGCCCGUGCGUUGCUACGGGCUAUAGUGCAUAUAAGUGAAUCAAACAAAUGAUUUAGUUUGUCCUCAAGGUCGAAGCUCAUUUCUUCCAGUCUGGGCUCCCCAAAUCUAGACCAUAUGUGGGGAAGAAAUGUGGUUGUCUUAUUUUCAACACGUGGGCCCAAUACAGAAACCCUGCCCCAUGACACACCCUUUCCUUUUUCUGAGCCCUCUCCUUUAAAAUUGAGUGAUGCCCCCCGCUCUCCGCCCUAAUCCCCUCCCCUUGUGUAUGUGUCCUUGUGUAUGUGCCGAUCCACCACCAAGGCGUGCACCGAGUCCGUGCGGAUUCCUAGUUCUUUCAUAUCUAUGUUCGAUCAGACAUUGGAUUACAAAGAUCCAUCGUGAGUUGUAAGAAGCCAAUUAGCAAGUUUAAAAUGGACCAAAAGUGAAUUUAUUCACAUAGUGCUGGAUGCCCAUGUGUUGCCACAUGCUAAAAAAACUAUAUGUACAACAAGAAAUGUGCUAACAAAAUGUUUUUACAAAAAGAAAGGCUGUGUGAUAUGAGCCAUAUACUAUUUACACGUGAUGAUAUCUCAUGCUCAUGAUGUGGUAGAUAAAUGCAUCUCCUCGUCAUCUUCAUGCCCCUCCCUCUUCUCAGCCACCACAUGACACUCCACUUCCUCCCACAAUCCUUCUUCUUGUUGUUUUCUUCCCGCACCUCCACCUUGCAUCAAAAUAUUAAAUGCCUUGUCAAACUUUCACAAUUUUCAAAGGUUAGCCAUCCCCUAAGAUUAUACAUAACUUAUAUGUGCACAGAAUAAGGAUAACGAAAAGGCAUACCAAAUGUCCUGCGAGAGAUAAAAUUCAGGGUGAUAUCUUAUACUCUAUGCAAUCAAUUUUUAAGAUAAUCUCUUUGUAGCUUUAGUCAAGAUUGUGACGCUCGCACAUUCCACAGAAUAAACAUCCAAUGCUGACCACAUAACUGAUUUAAUAGUUGAAAUAUGCCUAUGAUAAAUAAAGUUUACUCAGAACAGUUUUUCUAAGAAAGGCAGAUAAUUUACUUAAGUGAAAAAGGAGAGGUUUGGGUUCAUCUCAAAUUAUUGCAUAUAUUAGAAGCAGAGGGUCACCGAACAAUUAACACAAUAGAAAAUCCAUGUUAUAUGUACUCCAUGAUGGCCUUUGUUUGUAUGGCUACAAUAGUUUUGUGAAGGAAACAGUGAAGACUCAAUAGCAUCAACUUACUUUAUGUUUAGAAAUUGUAGUCACAUAUAACCUAGAAAAAUUUAUCUUUCCAACUUCUUGGACAUACAAUAAAAUUGUGCUAUUCUGUAUAGUGGCAAGAAAUAUGACUACAAACUUCUACUUUGAUCAGCCAUACACAACGAUCGGUAAGAAUAUAUAGCUAUGAUAUUGUGCGAAGACCAAAAAUGGAGAAAAUAUGCAUGCAAAAGGAGAUCAACAAUAAAAAACUUGAUGCAUAACUACUUGCAUCCAGUGAAGAUUGUAACUAAGAGCAAGCAAUUACAACAAAAUCGCACCGUUUUUACUAUUUCAUGUAGAAAAGAACACAAGCUAUCAUGUUCACUUUCGUCCAAAGAAGUCAACAUUAUUUAUUUCCUGCAAACAAAAUAUGCACAUCAGAAUUUAGUCCGAAGAUGAAGGGUAAUUUUGAACAAAUAAUGCUAUCAUGCAUAUCUAUAUACCGUUGACUCUACAAAAAAAACCUACUUGAUAACUACAAAGAAAUAAUAUUGGAACUCUUUAACACAAAACUGGUAGGGGGUUCAUUCACAAUCUGUAUACUUAAAGCAGGAUCAUGGUUCCAACUUGAAUAAGCAAUGUCAAGAGUGAAUUAGCUACAGAGCCAUUAGAUCAUUAGAACACAACCACGAGGAACGUGUCUGACACUUAAAAAUAGUAUAGUAGAUGUACACUAACAAUAAGUAAUAGUCACCUGGUAACCUCACGGGAGACAACAAUAUAUGCAUAGUUUGGUUUUGAUGCGGCCAUGUCUAUCCGGCUUUGGGAAAGAGGCAGACUGGGGGUAUUAACUGAGUGCUGAAAGACUAUAGGUAGCCAAUGGAUAACCGUGUUUUGUACCCCCAAAUAAUUGUCGGUUAAUACAAAUGUCAAAAGAAUCAAGAGUACCAUGAGGUUGUAACUUGAAAGAGGUGAACACAGGAGCAAAUAAAAUGUGUAGACAUUAAGAUUGAUUAAUUUGUAUGUUGUCUUGUAUCAUUUAGGUGAUCAAUUUAAAAUUAUUUCCCUUCGAACAUUGUAGUACUCGACUUGAAAAGGCUGACACUAAUACAAUCAGGCAUAUGCAGUCUGGAUGAACACCAGUUGUGUUUGAUUAAUCAUUUAAUAUCUAAUCAAGAUAAAAUUAAUACAUACCUAGAGGUCGGAUAAGAUUAAUUAGAACGGUGUGUGAGCACAGCACCAGCGAGCUGCACAAACAAUUAUAGAGAAUAUAUACUACUACCACUACCAACUACAACUUGUGACCAAUCACAUAAAGAUAUAUAUAUUUAGAAAGAUGUGCAUUGCUACGACUUCUAAAUUGAUAUAUCAUACUGUAUUUUGUCUCUUUUCACUUCUUUCCUCUCCUCAUCUCGUUGGCUAGUCUUCUCUGAUUAUUUGUUGUCAAUUCUUUUAUCAAGGUUAUGCAAAAAGAAAGUUCAAAAUAUUCAGAUCAAAGAUAAAUCUCUAUGAAAACUAAUUAUUCAAGAGCGACGAUGCAAAUUAAAAGAUGAGACAACACCUUGAUGAAAAAAUGCAGAUCCACUUGUAUGGCGUCCAAAUAUGUUACCCAGUGGGUUUCUUGUUCACUGAGCAAAGUUCAGCACUUUCAUGGAAUUAAUUAGUAGAAUUAUUGUAACACCAAGCAUGUACAAGUAUCCCAAGAUGACCACGAGUGAAAUUUCUACUGUAGUGCAUACUAAACAUACCUGACCUUUUUCUUCUUGAAUCCAUCAAAUUUUUAUUUCAUUUAGAGCAUCAUGAUGUCGUGAAUACAACUUCAAAACUAUUUAGAGCAUCAUGACCUCAACACUUCUAAGUCUGAAAUCGUCUCUAUAAAUGAUCUGUGGAGCAAUUCGUAAACUGCAGUCAGUAGACACAUUAAUUAGAUUGUGCAUGCAUGAGACGAUGGAUUGUGUAGAUGAUCCCUAAGCUGUGGAACAGUAUAACCAGAGAAAAUAGCAGUCAAAGGGAGGAAUUAGCUAGCUAGAUUGUGGAUGCAUGCAUGAGUCAGCCGGCGCAAGGGGAGUUGCACUGAGCGCCAUGACGAACUCGGAGUCUGGGCCCGAGCCGUUGUGCCUCGGCGGUAGACAGGGCCAGCACAGCCGCUGCUCGCUGGGCCGCUACUCGCUAGUGCCCACCACGCUGUUGAAUCGGCCGCCGAUUGUAGCCACUAUAUACAGUGUUCACGCCGCCAUGAUUGUGCCCGACGAGGACGGUACAGGGCGGCGGAGUCGUGCAUAUCCGGCGGUGAGAUCAACCAGCAAGGCGAGGUGACCGGCAGCGAACGGGCAGGGCCUGCGGCGUCGUCUGCAGAUCUCCUGGAACAGAGAAAAAGAGAGAGAGGUAGAGACUGAGGAAGGAGAGGUAGGGCGCAGGAAGAGGAGAGGGAUACUGGUGUCCAUGGCGAGGCCUCCGUUGUCCACCGGCAAACCUCCAUGGCUAAGGUAAGGUGCACCUACACCCAUAACACACCAGCAUGACCUGACGGUGAACGGGUUCACGUGACGAGCGCGGGGCUGGCAAUCACCGUUUCCUGGUCCUCCUCGCUGAUGCAUAACGGGCACGCAUCGCUGCCUGGGUCGCUCACCAUGAAGAAGAAGAUAGGGUGGAGGAAUUGAGCGAGGGAGGAGGAAUCGAGCGGCUUGUACGGCAGGGGGCCAAACCAUGAUAAAAAUCAGUACAACCCGUGCGAGGUGGAGAACGAAAUGACUUACCUAUAGCUCAUGAUUCGAUUGAGAUGAUAGGGAAGGAAGGAAAAUUGUGAUUUAGUCAGACAAAGUUUUGGAAAGUUCUGAUUCAGCUGAGAAAUAGAUGGAAAUAAUGCCUCAUGAUGAUUAGGAGAUCACGAUUAGGGUAUGGCAAGAAGAACUUUUUUGGAAAGCUUUGAUUCUGAGUUUUACCAUACAUGGAUUACCAUAUUCGAAAUUUCCUUAGUUAUAGCCUUACCAUACAUGGAUUGAUUUAUUACUAUAAUUAUCAUAUUUGAGAUUUCUGAGUUUAUAGCCUUACCAUAUGUGGAUUAAUUGUGAUUGAUCACCAUAAACAACACGUUGGAUGUUGUCGGCCAGACGAGAAAGAGGAAAACCGGUGGGAGGGGGGUGGUGGGGGGUGGGACGAAGAAAAACCAGACGAAAAAAAGCCAGACGAAAAAAAACCAGACAAAAAUGGUGGGACUAUUCAACCAACUCGUUCAUUAGGAAUAGAGAUAACUACGGCCUUGUGGAACUCAGUUUACGUAUGCGCUUCCGCGCAGGGGACGGACGCCACGGCGAGAUAUCUUGACAUUAAACACGCAGCAGCAGCCGCAAACGACCAAAUUGAACGUUGAGAUCUCAUGCGAUUUCUUGCCAGAGAAGAUCGAGGGAGAAAACACAUCGGCCGGCCGGCGAUAAAAAGCAACAUAUGUUGGGUCAAACACAUAGAGAAACACGAGAGUAGAGUUCUUCAAUAAGUAUACUACUAUCAUCAUCAACGAGUCAACCAAGUCACCCGCUGCUGAUUAAGUUCAUUACAACUAAAAACUUUGAUUUCCAAACACACGCCGCGCCACCAACAGAGCCGCACACGCCCGCGAUCUCGCAACAAACCCAACAAGGAAACGACGACGUACUGGCUGAACUGAUGAACUGAUGGGGUCGCUCUCGAUCGCGAGGUAGCGCGCAGCUCAGACCGCCGCGCCGCCAGCGCCCUCCGCCUGGCCGCCGCCGGCUCCGGCCUGCGCCUGCGGGUUCCCGCGCGCCUGGAUCUUGGCCAGAAUGCACUCGCCGAUGUCGCCGAUGGCGCCCUUGGCGAACAGGAAAAGGAUGAUGCACGCCACACCGUCAAGGAAACCCCAUCCGUACUCGUCCAUGGACUAGCUAGAGGACUAGCUUGGCGUGCGUGCGUGGUUGGAUGGGCAGAAGAGAGGAGAGUGCGAUGGGUCGAUGGGAUGCAGAGCAGAGGAGUGACGAGUGGUGGAAGAAAGUGAUUACUCCUAGAUGGGAGAGGGGUUUAAAACGCACACGCUCUCUCUGCGCUCCGGCCGGUCCAUGGGUAGUCUAAUCUCUGUCUAGUGCUCCUGACGUGUAAAAUGGGACCGUCAUUUUCUGCAGACGCGGUGCCAAGGUCGACGCGGUAGGUCGUCUUUGGACGCACGCCCGAUGUGUCGAAACAAGGUAGCUAGCCGUCCAUCGAUCAGCCGGCUGGCCCCUGUGGCCUGUGCUGCAUACGGAAACGGAGGGAUGCAUGCGCUUUCCUCCUGAAAUGGAGCUAUUGGUAAAGACUUAGUGAACAAAUCUGCAAGAUUAUUACAAGAUUUUGUUUGCAAAAUAUGAAUUUCUCCAGAAUAAAAUGUAAUACAUGAGGAAAAAUCAGUUUGGGAGCAAUAGGUUUUGCGAUAUUACUUCAAAUCUAGCCAUAUGCAUCUGAGCAACAUAUGCAUCAUUAGCCUCAUAGAUAAUGGUUGGUGAUUCUAAUGAACCAAUACCACAUGAUGUUUGAAUAUGGCUAAUCAGUCUGUGAAGCCAUACACAAUCUCGUGAGGCUUCAUAACUAUUUUAGACUGGUUAGUGGAAUUUGCUACUAAAGUUUGCUUUGUUGCUUUCAUGGAAUAGCAAUUCCAUCAUAUAAAAAAUACAAACCCCAUUUUUGACCUGGCAUUACGAGGACCAGAAAGUUAUCCAAGGCCAAUAUAACCAAUUAGGUCCAUUUCUUGAUUUUCUCGAUAAUAUAAACCAAAUUAUUUAGUACCAUGCAAAUAUCUUAAGAUAUUCUUUACUCUCACCCAAUAAAUCCUGUUGGAGUUGCACUAUGUCUAGCCAAUACAUUUAUUACAAAGACAAUGUCAGCUCCAACAAUUUUGUGUUGCAAAUCUAAUAUUCCCGAAACUUCACAUUCAGAUUCACUAGUACGUCGAUCUAAGGACCGAAUGCCUGUAACAUUCCAAUCUAUUUCCUGUCAUUUUUUAUGAUUUGUUUUUUCCCCUGAUGCCAGGAAAUGUUCCCCGUCAAAAUUUUAAUCAGCAUACUGGAUUAUGAACAGGUUCAUGUUAGGGGUUCUAAGUAUUUUACAACUGGCAUUGAAUUGGUACGUAUACAACACAAUCGAAUUUUCGCGGAUGAAAAAUACUUUGCUGAUUGCUCCAUACUAUUUGAAACGUGGAAGUUUCAUCAUUUGCAGUUGGUCUUGCUUGUAUCAACCCUUGGGCGUGUAAAACCACAUGUCCAUAACAGCUAAAUUCCAAUUCUCUGCAAUAGUGGCCUUGUAAUUAGUUUCACUCUUUUAAUUAAAUAUUCAGCCAUUUCAUUUUGUGUAUGACCAUAGGGUGUCGAAUGUUCUAGACGGAUACCUGUAGCCGUAAAAUAAUCACUAAAUGUGCAUGAACUAAAUUCGUGGCAUUAUCCAUUCUUACUGUUUUUAUCGUAUGUUCAAGGAUGACUUGCUGACAAUUCAAUAAUUUGGCAAAGACAUGUCGACGAGUGGAUAAUAAACAAACACAUGACCAUCUAGUGGAUGCAUAUAUUAGCACCAUGAAGUACCUAAACUGUCCAUAGUGUACUGGACCACAUAUAUCACCUCUAAUUCUUUCAAGAAAGUUAAGUGACUCCUUUUAAAAUUUGAGGUAUGAUGGCUUAAUAUUUAAUUUCCCAGUAGCACAUGCGGCACAUAUAAAAUCGGAUGAUUUGGGAAAUCUUCUAAUUGAUAAAUUAUGAGGAAAAUAAUUAAGUAUAAUUGUUCUCAUCACACCCUAUUCCAGGAUGACUAAGGCGAUCAUGCCAUGUUUUGAAUUUAUCAAGAUUUUGAAAUAAAAUAAAUUGUACGCAAUAUAAGGUACGGAUUCUUCCUACAUUGGAUUGUUUCACCUAAAAUUUAUUUCUUCCCUUAUGUAGUCUAUUUGCUUGGGUUCGACCGGUGCCUGAUAAUUUGAACAAAAUAGACCGGUUGUGAAUGAGACAAUGUUUAUUGCAAGAUUCGUUGAAGUAUUUAUAUGUUCUAAAGGGGGUGCUUACAAAUUUUCUUUUUAACUUGGCGCUCACAUUGCUUUUUUUUAUAAAAAAACAGUGCUUAUAAAGACGGUUCGCUAUGUACAACGUCAAGAUUCUAACUGCCAGGGGUGAUUACAGUACGAGUUACCAAGGCCGGCCCUUCUGUAAUCCCUCGGGUACGCAUGGCUGCCUAUAGUUCGGGGAGCGAGAGGGGUUAGGGGAAGCCCAUAUGUUCUCUCUGAUCGCACGAGGAAUGUCCCCUUAAUAAUUUGGUGGAAUCGGGAGCAUGUGAGUGUGAUCAUACGCAGGAGAUGGGCAGUUAGAUAGACAUCGACCGGUCAAUUAACAUUGCAGCAGCAACAGUAGAAACUGCUCCUGCAAUUGUCGCCAAAGAAAACUAGAUCGGGGGAGAAAUGCAAACAUAAGUAGGAGUACUGUAUUAAUUUUAGUCUUUUGAUUAAAUAUUCAGCCAUUUCAAUUUGAGUAUGAACAUAGGGUACUGAAUGUUCUAGAUGGAUAUCUAAAGUCAAAAAAUAAUAAUUAAAUGUUUGUGAACUAAAUUUAGCUGCAUUAUCCAUUCUUAUUGUUUUUAUCGUGUGUUCGGGAUGAUUUGCUCACAAGUUGAUAAUUUGAGCAAUUAAUUUUGCAAAGACAUGGUUAUGUGUAGAUAACAAACGCGGAUGCAUCUAUUAGCACCAUGCAGUACCUAAAUCGUCCAUAGGGGUUGUAUUGGACCACAUAUAUUUCCUUGAAUUAUUUGAAGAAAAUUAAGUUAGUCAUUUGUAAGUUUGAGGCAUACAAAAUCCAUUGAUUUGGGAACAUCUAAUUGGUAAAUUAUGGCCAAAAAAUUACGUGUAGUUUUUCUCAUCAUACGUCUUCCAGAAUGACCAAGGCUUUCAUGUCAAGUCUUAUCAUCAUGAAGGAGUCAACGACAACGCCCUGCUAUGACGUUUGCCACAACGUAAAAGCGAUCAUUUUUUUUGUAGACUAAUACCGAAUUACCGAGGCAAUCUCAUUGACAGUACGGCAGGCUUGGCUGACUGCAGUUCGUAGAAAUCGUACGAGGAGUGUUCCCUUAAUAAUUUGGUGGGAUCGGGUGCACUAUGAUUGCGCGCAGGAGAUGGACGGUUAGCUAUCGACUGCUCAAUUAAGAAUGCUGCUGCAGCAGCAGAAAACAGCUCCUGUAAUUAUCGGCAAAGAAGCUAGAUCGGGGGAGAAACGCACAUAUAUAUAUCGGGGGAGAAGCAGCUCCUGUCGCGAUUACAAACAUAAGUACUGUAUAAAACAUAAGCUAGAUCCUGGGAGAAAAUAUAGAGUACGUAGAGUUCAAUAUAUCAUCAUCAUCAACAUCAACGGGUCAAGGACCAUGCAUGCAUGUCCCUGCUAAUGAGUACCAGACUGCCAAUUAACUCCAUUAUUACAACUAAACUCUGAUGCUGAUCGAGUGACGCCUCUCACCUCUGGGCUAUCCCUCGCGAAGUCGCGAGCUCAGGCCGCCGCGCCUGCGCCUCCCGCCUGGCCGCCGCCGGCUCCACCAUGCGUCUGCGGCUUCCGGAUCAACGCCAGGACGAUCCGGCCGGUGUAGGCGAGGAUCCUCACCGCGAGCAGGAAGCUGGCUGUGUACUGUACACCGCCAAUGAAACCCGCUUCAUACUCCCCCAUGACCGCCACCGCCCGCCCACCGGUGUGUGUGUGUGUGUGUGUGUGUGUGAGAGAGAGAGAGAGAGAGAGAGAGAGAGAGAGAGAGAGAGAGAGCAAGUGAGGAUGGGGUGAGGAGAGGUGGAAGAAGUAGGCAGGAGCACACGCACUCUCUCCGCUCCAGGUUCCGGGGUUUUAAUGGCUUCUGCACGCCACUUUCGGCCAAGACCCAGCUGGGUCGACGCGGUAGGUCUUGGACGCACGCCCGAUGUGUCAAAAGCUAGCUAGCCGGCUGGCUGGCUCCUGUAUUGUGCUGUAUACGGAAACGAAACGGAAACGGGCGCAUGCACUUCCCUGGUGACAAUAGAAAAGGUACUUUCUCCGUUACAAAUUACUCGUCGCGAAAAUGGAUGUAUCUAGAUGUAUUUUAGUUUUGGAUACAUCCAUUUCUACGGAAACAGUGGGAGUAGCUAGCUAGCUAGCGUCCAUGGAUCAGCCACACACUUCAAUAAUUUCACUGCCCAUCUCGUGAACUUUUGUGCCACGGAGUGGGUUAUGCACCAUGAUCAAUGCCGUUGCAUGAAUAUGUACGGUUUUGCUUGAUCGAUGCCCCUCCACUAGCACAUGCCCGAGAGCCACCGCAACAUGAUGCAACGUUCAAUCUGCGUUCCUACUGAAUUUGGCCUUGAUGCUUCCAUGGACACAUAUAGGGCUGUAAUGCUUGUUCAGUCGAUCAUGUGAUUACAAUCACGUUGCAGUGGGAUGGAGGUGUUCACCAUUAAUGAUGACUGUUAAAAUAAAUCCGAGACGCUCCGUUGAUCUAUCGAGGACCAAACAAUCACACGAACACGACACCGAGAUUUGUUAACGAGGUUCACCAUCAUGGCUACAUCCUCGGGGCCUGACUACGGGUGCUCCUCCCCGUAACACCGUCACAAUACCGCACCCCGGCCGCCCGGGCGCCGGCACACGCCGCCGGCUCCCCCGCGUGCCCGUGCUAUUAUGUUGGCAUAGGGUACAUCGUGUGUCUACCCCGCUAUAUAUGAGAGGCCUAGGAUACAAGUGUCCUACUUGGACACGACUCCAUAUCCUGUCCACACACCGUACGACUCCAAGUCCAACUGUAACCUAACUUGUACAAUAAUAUUCGACACAACUCUAACAAACUCCACCUUGGCAAAUAUUCUCCACCACCUUGAAUUCGUCCGUGCGUCGAGCCUCCAUGUACAUUGGACUUGAGAUAUGCAAUGAGCACCGCUGCUACUCUCAGACUCCAUGUGACUCCACCUGCAACUGUAGUCCCUUCUCGUCUUCUUCACAGUCAACCCUCGAGCAAAAUUAAGUUCCUCAUUACUCUAUUUUGUGCUCCCAACUUCCGAGAUCCAUUCAACACUAUCACACACCGAUCACUGUCUGCGUGAAAAUGAACAACUCGCAUAUUGGAUGCCACAUAUAAGAGUUACCUGAACUCAAUGCCACCGCUCUUUCUUGACCGUCUAUCUGAAACUUGAAGGAAUUUCACCGUCGCCCUGUGUUACCCUGAGUCGAAUUCACAGUUGUCUCACCCUUUUCCCGGAUAGUCUCUGGCAUGUCCCACAGCUAUAGCACUCCGCCUCCUUCUGUCUUGUCAUCCGCACUUUGCCAUGUGCACUGAACACCACAGAAUAUACGGCCAUGUACUCUCUUUGUUUUGACAAUUCCAGACUUCCCGCCACUUUCUUAGAUUCUUCAUGGUCAACUCUUGUCCAUCAACCGACACCGAUAGACCCAGUCACCAACUCGAAUCUGGUACUCGUCAACACUGCUUCAGCACCCCCUGCACACUUUGUCUGACCACAUGUCUCACCAUUAGUGCCUUGGCCUGUUGCUGUGUCCCGUGCUUACCGCACGCCUCGCCGCUAUCACCGCGUCGAGCCUCUGCUGUCCUGGUCGAGUCUCCCAAGGUCGCGAACCCACACCACUGAGACCCCUACUGCAAAGAACCACCGAUCAUCACCGACCGAUGCCGAGUAUCACGUCUCCAUCAGACCACUGGUACCCAGUCUGAAACCACAUGUCUCUCGCUAUCCCGCUGAAAUAGGCUUCGACUCUCUGUUAACUUACGCCGUAGCCCCUCCAUCAGCACAGAGUGAAGUCGUCCAUCAGACUCCAGCUCCACCUUCAACAUGACUCCAUGUAGCUGGCCAUGCUACCCUCGCGCCCUGUCGACUUCAAGCUCUCUUGUGUGCACCGUCUUGAAUUAACCCUGCGCCAUAGUCUGUCGAAGCCGCACAAGCCCUCAGGUUUGCACCACGUGUUUCCACGUCCCAGAAGUCGGCCACCAUCAGCAUCACGCUCCUAUGCCGUUGUCGCUGAAAUCACCACCGUCUUCUGCUUUGACCGACAUCUCCGUCGAUCUGUCAGACAGUCCAGUCCGACCCAAUCGAAAAUAUCCGACUGCAAUCAUUCUCCACCCCGCGUCGUGUCCGCCUCACACACCUGUGCAUUGCCUUGACGCCAUGUGCAUGCAUGAUCCCUGCCACGACGAGCUCCAGACUCCUCCGAGCCAUAUACGCACGCCGCCAUCCUCGUCGCAUGUGCUCCAUCUUGAUCAACUUGGCAUUCCGCAAUUGACAUUGAUCUCUCAUGGAUAUGCGACUCCGCGUCCUUAUUUCCUGCAGUGCAUUGACCGCUGCCAUCAUGUAACACAGAGAAAACCCCAAAAACGACAUAUCAGUGGCAGCCUCCCGUGCCCAAACAUGGCACAAGCUGACCCUAAUUUCCUUUUUUUCUUUUUUCUCUCAAGCACCCGAUGGCAAGCACACCACAUGUGACGCCCUUUUUUCAAACAAAUCUCUUACGCCUUUGCACUUCUAGCAUCAGCCAUGCCACGCAUGCAUAUCUGACGCACAGUAGCUCACCUAGGCCUGCGCCUCGCUAGCGCUCCAGGCUCCAGCUGCGUCACCUGCCUUGCCCGCGCGCCCACCGCUCACGUGCACGUCGCGCUGGAGACCAGCUCCUGGAACGUGGAAACCACGGCCUUGGGCCUGCCUGGCACCGCUGGGCCUUGCGCCACAGAGUGGGCCGCCUGCCCUAGCCAUCUGCACGCUGCCGCCUCGCCAUCGAUCAAACUAAUCGAUCUGAAUGUGGCAGUGGAUGCUUCCGUGCACGACACAUACUACACCUUCCCCGAUCGAUUGAAUAGAUCUUCUCGCCACUGCCGUCCGCUAGGUCUAUCUGCUGCUAGCUGGAUGCAUCUCGUCGAGCGCCGCGUGCUCCCCAUCACUUUUACCUUGCCAAUAAUUCGUAAUCAUGUGUCACGCAGUCCGACUCGAUCGCUUCUGGACGGCUUUCAUGGCCGUACAUACGAUCCGAUCUUCAAUUGCUUCCACACGAUCAACAUGAAAUUUGCAACCUCUAGAUCAACAAACCGCAACCUCAAAUCAAACCUUGCUCAUGAUUCACUUGUUAGAAUAAAUCUGAGGCGCUCCGUUGACCUACCGAGGACCAAGCAAUCACACAAGCACGACACCGAGAUUUGUUAACGAGGUUCACCAUCAUGGCUACAUCCCCGGGGCCUGACUACGGGCGCUCCUCCCCGUAACACCGUCACAAUACCGCACCCCGGCUGCCCGGGCGCCGGCACACGCCGCCGGCUCCCCCGCGUGCCCGUGCUAUUAUAUUGGCAUAUGUUACAUCGUGUGUCUACCCCCGCUAUAUAUGAGAGGCCUAGGAUACAAGUGUCCUACUUGGACACGACUCCAUAUCCUGUCCACACACCGUACGACUCCAAGUCCAAUUGUAACCUAACUUGUACAAUAAUAUUCGACACAACUCUAACAAUGACCAAUAUGGAUCUUGGAGGGAAACCUUGCUGGACCCACCUGCCCUUAUCUUGUGUAGACUGCCAUGCACUGCAAUGGGUGUCUAUUGUAGUUCACUGAUAAAAGAAAAACCACCCAUGCCCAGCCGUUCUCCGUUUCAGCCUUCAAGAUGAAUCAUUUGGUUUAACCCAAUUGCUUCCUAAUGUGUACAGUGAAGUAUGAAGAAUUUCUAGUCCGUAAGCUUGACGGGGAGUUAUGCACUACCUUCUUUCGUAGUCUCCUGCAACGAGUAUUGAUCUGGAUGACAAGAUAUAUCAUGGAUCCACAAUGGAGGUACGCUUGUUAUUUUUCACAUUUCGCUCUAUGUUUCUUUCAUAAAGAAAGUACAUAUUUUUUGACAAAUGCACCAAUUAUAUUAAUAAAUGGUACCUUUUAUAUAUAAACAUUUACGGAUACAAGUUAGACAUAUUCAAUACAAAUGGAACAUUUUCCCAAUGCAUCGCAAAAAAAUUCAAAAAAUUAUGAAUUUUUCUGAAUACACCAUGUAAAAAAUUAAAUACAUGUUGAAUUUUUUUGUACAUGAUGAAGUUUUUCAAUUAAUGUUGAGCAUUUGCUAAAUAUACAUUCUAUUAUUUAUAAUACAUGAUAAACAUUAUUAAAUCCAAUAUGAAUAUAUUUUUUAACGUGCAAACACUUCAAUAAACUAAAUGGACACUUUUAAAAUCCGUGAACGUUUUAAAAAAAUAUGAACAUCUUUUACAAAUAUAUGGCCAUUUUAGUAUUUUAUGUCUCGGAAUAUUUUUCCAACACACAAUAUUUUUUAUAUGUUAUCGUUAAUUUGAUGUUAUGUAAAUUUUCAAGAUAAAUCAAUUGUACAUCUACAUUGUAUUUAAAAAGUUUCGAUGUAUGUUACAAUAUGUACUUUAUCCAAAAAACAGAGAAAGGUGUCAAAAAACAAAGAGAACUAAGAAAAUCUUGUAUUUGAGCCAGCCCAUGAGAGGCUUGCAUUAGCAACCUAAGGGAAAAUCCUAUUUGCCGCAUACCUUGGUGGAUAGCAAGCAAACGCGGUGGGAGUUGUAUGUCGCCAUACCUAUUUGUAUUACCACUCACUUAAAUAGCUGUCAUAUUUAGGCCAACCCAAUAUUGUACUUGUACGUGAGGUUUUUGCAGAAAAGUGGAUUCAUUCCAGAAAAGUUCCAGAAGAUGCUAAUGGUAAGCAAGAAGAUUGUUUACAAAGAAACAACAAAAAAAUUCAUAUUCUAAUACAUAAGAGUUAUAUAGGAAUCGAAAUAGUCUUUUAUUUUCUUUUUGAAAUAAAAAUGGAUUUCAUUGAUGUAAUAAAACUAUUCCAAUUCGAAUAAUAGUUGAGAAAGAAUCGCAAUAAAUGCAAAGAUGGAAUAUCUUGGAUACGGUAUUGAAGGAGUUGAACCAGGAUUUCCAAAUGGAUAGGAUUCAUUAUUGCACAUCAAUUUCUUAGGGGUUUCUUUGGUUGCUCAUGUACUUUUUUUCUUCAGUUUUAAGUUUUUUCUUUGCUUUUCACCGAUCUCCUUGCAUUUUUUUUUUACAAAAAAUGACUAAUUUUCCAUACACGCUGUCCAUGUUUUAUACUUCUUUACAAAACAUCAAAAGCACGAUUAAUAUUUUUUAACUAUGUGAUUUUUUAUAUUCUUUUUGGCACAUUGUGCAUUUUUGCACACAUCUAGGAUAUUUUUAUAUGUUUAAAAAAUUUAAAUACAUGAUUACGUUUUUUCAAAAACUUAGUUUUCACAUUUUCAAUACAUGUUACAAAAUUGAUAUACACGUCAAAAUAUAAUUUCAAGAUAUGUAACCUAUUUUUACAUUCAAUAAACACUUUUCAAAUGUCAGAAAUAACGUGUGACAUUUGUCGAAAUGCAGCAUACAUUUUUUCAAUGGUAUAAUUUUUUUGGUACUACACUAACAUGUUAUUUACAUAGUAUAGUUUUGUUUUACAAGUCACCUACAUUUUAAACACGAAAAAAUUCUGAAUGGUACAAAAAUUUUCUUGAAGUUGAGAGAACAUUUUUGACAAUACAUGUAUAUUUUCUUAAAAUUAGAAAUAUUUUUAUCAAAUGUGUGGAUAUUUUGUAAAUUAUACAAUCAGUUUAAAUAUGAGAACAUUUUUAGAAUUCAUGAACACUUUUGAAUUUCAGGAACAUUUGUAGAGUUUAUGAAUUAUUUGUUGGAUUUUUUAAUCAAGACUUGUUUUAUUAAUUCGUGAAUUGUUUUUGUCAAGUUCAUUUUUUCAAAGACAGGAACAUUUUUUGAAAUCCAAGAACUUUUGAAAAAUCAUGAACAAUUUCGGAAUUAAAAUAUUUUUGUGAACGUAAGACAAUUAUCAAAUAUAUAUAUUUUUUGAAAUCCAAGAACAUUAUCCAAAGUUGUGCACAAAUUUUGAGUUUAUGGAAAAAUUCAAAAUUUUCGUGAAUAUUUUUCAAAGUUCAAAAAGGAAAAACAAAAUAACCAAAGGAGAAAAAAAAGGAAAAUCACAGGCGCCCAUUUGACGUGGUCACUAAAAAAACUUGAAUGAGGUGGAAACUUGGCCCUUUCUCCUUGGCUGGAAAGAUAGAAUGGAAAUCAUUUUCUUUUUUCUAGAAAUAACCCUCUUUCAUGUUUAUCGAAUAACAAGUUUAGAAAUUUUAAAAAUGUUUUAUUUUCAAAAUUUGUUCAAUAUUGGAAUAAAGUUUUAUUUUCAUAACAUUGUUUGUAAUUACAAAAAGUCAACAUUUUUAAGUUUUGUUCAAAUAUGCAAUAAAAAUCUUUUUUAUAAAUACGUUCAGUUUUUUAAGUAAAAAAUCAGGAUUUUCAAAAAAUGAUCGCAUUUUUCAAAGAACUGUUCGUAAUUAAAAAAUGCAAACAAGAAACCCGUUGCCACAGUAUGAGCUGAGUCGAUAAACAAUGUGUCGCUACAAUAGGAAUCAUGGCACUAUAGUGUGAGAACCAAGUCAUCACUAUGUUUCACUAUCUAUAUGGUCUGGCCCAAUAGGGAGCUCCGUUGGGCGCCGCGCCUCUAUUGGACAUAGCGAGCAUCCAAUAGGAGUCCUCCAUUAGGGCAUGUUUAACCGAUCCCAUAUAGCUGGGUUACUUACCCUCUCGUUUAGGGUUUACCUACUCCGGCGGCGGCGACGCCGGCGUUGAGUCUUCGUCCCCUGCCUCCUUCGUGAUAGCCGAUGACGUCCGCACGGGCUCCCCGGCCUUGGCGUUAUGUUUUCGAUGGCUUUUUACGAGGGUGUCUAGGGUUUUAUUCUCGGUCCAGAUGGGAUCGGCUGCUGCGGAUCACCAUGGCUGGAGGAGCGAGUUCAGCUUCUGGAGCAGGAAAGAGAUACUUGGCAGCCACGACUCGUCGGCCGGACGUGCAAAAAGAGGCACUGGAUGGAGGUGAGGCUGCAUGCAAGGUGGAUCUGUUUUGGUACUUGCUGGAAUUUUUGUAUCCCGGAGAUGGAGAUCCUGGUGGAACAAGUGGUGUGGCCUCCCCCUCCAAAUCAACCACCUCUGAAGCUACAUCGGCGGCCUCCCUUGAGGAGGACCGCCGAGUCCAAUGAGUAUUAUGAGCUGGAACUGUCGCGGGAUUGGCAACGACGCGACAGUUCGAGAGCUACGCACGCUUGUGCAACGGUUUGCCCCCUCAGUGCUUUGCCUUCAAGAAACUCAAGUUGGAGGGUUGAGGGCUAGGAAUCUAGCUCAUUCUUUUGGUUUCAAUAGAAGUUAUACUGUAGGUAGUAGAGGAAGAAGUGGUGGUUUGGCAAUGUACUGGAAUGAUAAUUUAAAUCUAGAUCUUAUUCAUUUUUCACAGUAUCACAUUGACAUGAUAGUUAAGAAAGAUGAGGAACAACCAUGGCGGAUAACCUGCAUUUAUGGUGAAGCAAAUGUCAAUGAACGACAGAAGACUUGGGACCUGCUGAGGUUCCUCCGAAGUGAAUCCAACCUGCCCUGGGUAUGCAUUGGCGACUUCAACGAAGUACUAUCGGCAGACGAACAUUUUGGAGUUGGCGAAAGAAAUCCGAGGCAGAUGACGGGAUUCAGGGAAGCUGUUGAUGUCGCUGGUCUAUGCGACUUGGGUUUUAUUGGUCCUUCAUGGACUUUUGAAAAGAAAGUGAGGGGCGGGUCCUAUACACGGGUACGCCUUGACCGUGCCCUUGCAACGACCGACUGGUGGCUGCGUUUCAAUUCAGCAAGUGUCCGGCAUCUCACGACUGCCCGGUCAGACCAUAGCCCAAUUCUCUUGCAGCUAACUGAACCUACCCAGCAGAGAAGAGCACAAGAGAAGCACUUCAGAUAUGAACUGAUGUGGGAGACGCAUGAAGCUUUUACCCCUUUUAUUACAGAGGCGUGGUGCUCAGGUCAACCAUCCAGUUCUAUGCUUGCGUUGGGUAAUAAAUUAAACAGGAUCUCGGGGGAGUUAUUGGGCUGGAACAGCAGCGUGUUCGGUCAGGUAAAAAAGGAGAUAAAUAGACUACAAACUGAACUGGAAAGGCUUCGUUCGAUACCAGAUCGAGUGGGACCUUCAGAGGCAGAAGUCAAUAUUACUCAGAAGCUCACAGAAUGGUACCAUCGUGAGGAGAUCAUGCAAAAACAGCGUUCACGCAUCCAGUGGCUUUCGGCGGGAGAUAGUAAUACCCGAUUUUUUCAGCAGAAAGCGAGCAAAAGGAGAAAAAAGAACCGGAUAGAACGGCUCCAGUUGCCUGAUGGGUCUCUUUGUGAGGAUGUCGAACAGUUAAAGGUCCACUCUGUGAAUUUCUAUAAGGCAUUGUAUACUUCUGAACGUACAAUGGGUAUGGAGAGAGUGCUUUCCUGUGUCCCAAGGAAAGUAACACCAGAGAUGAACCUAUCACUAAACGCACCGUAUAAAGCGGAGGAAGUCAAGUUGGCAUUGUUCCAAAUGUUUCCGACCAAGGCGCCAGGACCUGACGGCUUUCCAGCACAUUUUUUUCAGCGUCAUUGGGACAUAUGUGGGGAAGAAGUGACUAAGGCAGUAUUGAAUAUUUUAAACGGAGUUGAAGAAAUUGGUGAGGCUAACCAAACUUUACUUGUUCUCAUUCCCAAAGUUUCAGAUGCAUCAUCUCUCACCCAAUUUAGGCCAAUUAGUUUGUGCAAUGUUAUUCUCAAAAUUGUUUCUAAAGUGCAAGCAAAUAGGCUAAAGCGGAUACUCCCAGAGAUAAUCUCUGAAGAGCAGUCUGCGUUCGUGCCAGGGAGGCUCAUCACAGACAAUAUUAUAACUGCAUAUGAGUGUUUGCAUUUUAUGAAGAAGAAGCGAGGCAGGAGCUCGCAAUUUUGCGCCUUGAAACUAGACAUGAUGAAAGCUUACGAUAGGGUGGAAUGGGACUAUCUCAAGGCCAUAAUGUUGAAGUUGGGUUUUAGCGACAGGUGGGUCGCUUCCAUAAUGAAAGUGGUGACAUCAGUAACUUUUUCGGUGUUGUUCAAUGGGGAGAGGACGGAGGUCUUUAAACCGUCUAGGGGGAUUCGUCAAGGAGACCCCAUCUCCCCAUAUUUGUUUUUACUAGCAGCUGAAGGUCUCUCUUGCCUUCUAAGGAGCAGGGGGAACUCGGAAAACCUAUCGGGCAUCCUUGUGGCGCCCACAGCACCCCCGGUCAAUCAUCUUUUAUUUGCAGACGACAGCCUGUUAUUCGCAAAAGCAAGCACCGAAGGAGCAACGUCAAUUAAAGAAGUGGUAGAGAUCUAUUGUCAGGCCUCGGGACAACGAAUUAACUUUGCAAAAAGUUCUAUUCACUUCAGCAAGGGAUGUCCAAACACUAUCAGAGAAAGUAUCAAGGUAAUCUUGGAUGUUCCUAAUGAAAGUUUGAAUGAGCGAUAUUUGGGUAUGCCCUCGGAUGUUGGAAGAAGCAAGAAUGGUACGUUUAAAUAUCUAAAGGACAGGGUGUGGAACAGGAUCCAAGGAUGGAUGGAGCAAAUCCUCUCGGCAGGGGGCAAAGAGGUGCUUAUAAAGUCAGUUGCACAGGCAGUUCCAACUUUUUCGAUGGCUUGCUUUAAACUGCCUAGAGGUCUAUGUGAGAAGUUAAAUUCGAUGAUAAGAAGCUUCUGGUGGGGAAGCAAGAAUGGCAAGCGGAAACCACACUGGGUCUCAUGGGACACUAUGACGAUGCCAAAAUAUAUGGGCGGACUGGGAUUCAAGGAUUUUGAAUUAUUCAACUUGGCCCUCCUAGCGCGCCAAGCAUGGCGCAUUCUCCAGUUUCCGGAGACCCUGAGUGCGCGUAUAAUUAAAGCAGUAUAUUUCCCUCUGUCAGAUAUCAUGGAAGCAUCGUUAGGCUCUUCUCCAUCUCAAGUGUGGAGAGCCAUAGUUGAAGGACGAGACAUGCUAAAGCUUGGUUUGAUCAGGAGAAUAGGCAAUGGUGCAGCAACGAAAAUAUGGGGAGAUAAUUGGAUACCGAGGACCCAAAGGCUCAGACCAAUGGCAGCCCUAGUAUCAGACACACCAGAACUUGUGGCCGAACUAAUUGACCCGACUUCUUGCCAGUGGAAUAUGGCAGAGUUAGAGAGAGUUUUCUUGCCCAUGGACGUACAAGCUAUUCGCGCCAUUCCGAUCAGCACGUCAUCGCAGACUGAUUUCUGGGCAUGGCAUCACGAAAAGUCUGGUAACUUCACUGUCCGUUCAGCGUACAGAAUGAUGGUAACAACGAAAAAAGUUAGGGAAGAUUGGCUUGAAGGCAGACCAAGCACUAGUUCGAACAGGGCGGAAAAGGCAUGGUCACAACUAUGGAAGAUCAAGGUACCAUCUAAAGUGCGAGUCAUUGUUUGGCGGCUCGCACAACACUCUUUCCCUUCGGGCUCAGAGAUGCAUCAUCGGAAAAUGACCACUAGCCCUCGAUGUGUUAUUUGUCAAGCAGAGAAUGACUCUUGGAGACAUUCGUUAAUAGAUUGUACCAUGUCACGUUGUGUUUGAGCAUUACUUGAUGAAUCCCUCAUAGAGCACAUGUGCAUGAAUUCUUGCUCGGAUGCGAAGGAGUGGCUGUUCCACAUGAUGGAGACUACAACACAUGAAGAAUUCAUCAAAAUUUUAUUGACACUUUGGGCGAUCUGGGGUGCGCGCCGAAAGGCAAUUCAUGAAUCUAUCUACCAAAGCCCGGUGACUAUUCAUGGUUUUGUUACCAGUCUCAUUGCCGACCUUCAAAUGGUGAACACAAAACUGGAUAAAGCUGCUCCAAAUCUACAAGCAGCAGCGCCGAGAUGGAGGCCACCGCCGGAGGGCUGGGCCAAAAUUUAUGUUGAUGGUGGUACAAACAAGAUAGGAUCAAAGGGAGCAGCUGCCGUCAUAUGCAGGAAUGAUACAGGGAAGUACCUGGGGUCUUCAGCGAGGGUAUUGAACAAUUGCACCGACCCAGCAACUCUUGAAGCAAUAGCAUGCUGUGAAGCGCUGACUUUGGCGGAGGAUUUAAACAUUCAGAAAGUUAUUAUCGCAUGUGAUGCUUCCACAGUUAUCAAGAACAUCAAUGAAGGUAGUAGAUGCGAGUAUAGUUCGGUUCUUACGGAGAUUAAGGUGCGAUCGAGACAUUUUCUUAAUGUUAAUUUUGUGCACGAGGGUAGAGCAACAAACAUAGAAGCUCACAAUCUUGUGAAAAGUGUUUUAUCACUCGAACAUGGUCGAUUUCUAUGGCUACUCCAGCCAUGGGAUCCCUCUAUUGUACUUCCUGUUAUAGAGCAAUAAAAUGACCGUGUGAUCCUCAAAAAAAAAAAAAAAACGAUCCCAUAUAGCUGGUUAGUGGAGUAAAAUACCGACACCUAACCGAUGCCUCUUCUACCCCGAGGGAGUAAAAUUUUACUCCUCUCUCGAAAAGUCUCCCUAUAUUUACUUUAUCUUUUGGCGAUUGAGUAAAAGUUUUCUUUGUGUGAAGGCCUCCUAGUGGCCAGUAGGCGACUCACGUGAAGCUCCCAUGAUCUCACCGGUGACCUCGUCGGCGACCUUGCCAUCUCGGCAGAAGUUGAGAUGCCUCGCGUUGGGUUGUGGCAUGGCUGCGGCGGCCAAGGCACGGCAAGGUGAGCAACUGCACCGGCUGCGCUGGUCGUCGUCACUGGCGGCCAUGGAGGAGACGAGCAGGGCAACGGCUAGCAGAAGGCCCAAGCCAGUCUGGAACCAGUCCAUGAUCUCGCGGAGCAUGCCGACAUUGAACACUAGCCUGCCCUCGACGACCCUCACCACCGCCUGGAUAGCAUCGCUACCAUGAGGAGAGCAACUGCCGGUGCUCGCGCUCCGAGCCUGGCCGCCAUUCUUUCUCUGGAAGCAGGUGAAGAAGAAUACACCUUAGCUGCGCACGUACGCAUGUCUAUGACUAUGUGCGAUCAUUAUGUAUUCUAAUGCUUCGUUUGCUGUUGGGUUGUGGCCCGGGCUUGUUAUAUAGGGAUCGAGAUUGCUGGGCUAGCUCUUCGGCUUUGACCGUUGGAAACUUGGAAAUUUUGAGUGGUUGGAGGCUUGAAAAAUCAGCAGCCGCAGCUAGCGGCAGCCCGGUGUGGUCACGAUGUAUUUCUUCAGUAAAAAACAAGGCGUGGUCACCUGCACGUUGUUUGCAUGAGCUAACGUACGCCGGCGGCGGUGGCCGUGUCAUUGCGGUGUCGACAUCAUCGACGCCGCUAGCCACUACGUUGCCGGCGUGGAUACAACGCCGCAAGCUGCGAAGACGCAUAGCAAGUGGUCGACGAAAUAUUUGAGCCAUACAUAAGCUUUACUCCGUUAUAUAUAGAGGAUCGACUAGGUCCAGCCAAAAUUUAGUGAAAUAAUUAUACUCCACUAAGCCUUUUACUCCCUUAACUUUUAGGGAAUCCGUUAGAAAUGCCCUUAGGAGGUCUAAAAUUCUAUUUGAUUGGUUUUGAGAUUUUCUAAAAUUCUCUUUGAUGCUCAUUGUCUUAAAUGGUUGCCCUACAAAAAAACGUGUAUUCUUGGAAAGCUAGGGCGGCUUUAUUUUCUUCUUACUAGGGGUAAAGCAACUCUACUACUUAGAGGGUGUUUGUUUUUAAGGACUUAUUGAUUUAGGGACUUAAAAAAGUCUCUAUAAGUCCCAUCUAAACCAAACAGGAGGGACUUAUAUGGACUUAAAGUGGGCAUUUGGGACUUAUGAAAUAAGACUCUCAAGGAGGGACUUAUAAUUGUAAUAUGGUCUUAUAGAGACUUAUAAGUCCCAGGAACCAAACAGGUAGGGACUUUUAGGGACUUGGGACUUAUAAGUUGGGACUAAAAAAAAGUCAUAGGACUUAUGAACCAAACAAGGCCUUAAAACAAUAAGCAUGCAAUUUGUCGCCAAAUUAAAAAGAUCGAGGGAGAAACACACAAACCGGACCGAGAUUAUUACAAACAUAAUCAACACAUAGCUAGAGAAACUCUAGAUCGAGUAGCAGUAGAGUUUCGUUAAUAUAGAGACGAUUCAAUGCCUGCUGCUAAUGCAUAUUGCCGCUAAUUAACCUCAUUACAACUACAUAGUACUUAGCUUGCACACAUCCAGGGUAAAGCUGUGGACCAUAUCUUGACCUCAGACCGCCGCGCC